AACAAUUUCCCUGUCUUCUUUGUCCGUGAUGGGAUGAAAUUCCCGGAUAUGGUUCAUGCACUUAAACCAAACCCCAAAUCCCACAUCCAGGAGAACUGGAGGAUCGUUGACUUUUUCUCCCACCAUCCCGAGAGCUUGCACAUGUUCACCUUCCUCUUUGAUGAUAUUGGUAUUCCCCAAGAUUACAGGCACAUGGAGGGCUCUGGAGUUAACACCUACACCUUGAUCAACAAGGCCGGAAAAGUGCAUUAUGUGAAGUUUCACUGGAAACCAACUUGCGGGGUCAAGAACUUGCUGGAGGAAGAGGCAAUUAGAGUUGGGGGAUCCAAUCACAGCCAUGCGACUCAGGAUCUUUAUGAUUCCAUUGCUGCUGGAAACUAUCCUGAAUGGAAACUUUUCAUUCAGAUCAUCGAUCCUGAUCAUGAAGACAAGUUUGACUUUGACCCACUUGAUGUGACUAAGACCUGGCCCGAAGAUAUAUUGCCCCUAAUGCCAGUUGGCCGCUUGGUCUUGAAUAGGAACAUUGAUAACUUCUUUGCUGAGAAUGAACAGCUUGCAUUUUGCCCUUCAAUUGUGGUUCCUGGGGUCUUCUACUCAGAUGAUAAGCUGCUCCAAACUCGUAUCUUCUCGUAUUCUGAUACUCAGAGGCACCGUCUUGGACCAAAUUAUCUUCAACUCCCCCCCAAUGCUCCUAAAUGUGCUCAUCACAACAAUCACCAUGAAGGUUUCAUGAAUUUCAUGCAUAGGGAUGAAGAGGUAAGAAUCUUCUUUGAAUCCUGCCGCAGCAAUACUCUGGGCAGCAAAUCUGGUGGAUUUUUGGUUGGUGUAACUAAGUUAACAUCACGCUUUCCUUGACAUAUGAAGGCGUUGUGAUGCAAUCUGACAUGUCAAUUAUUGAUCCCAAAGUGGCAGUGCAAAUGUCCUCUCUCCUUUUGUUGUGUGACUAGAUGUAUGUGUGUUUACAUAUGUAGGAAAUACCUGUCUGCUAUUAUGUAAGAAGAUUAUCUGUUGAGCAAAUGCUUAUUUUCCCUUUUGCAGAUAAACUAUUUUCCAUCAAGGUACGAUCCUGUUCGUCAUGCAGAGAGAUAUCCCAUUCCAACUGCUAUGCUGACUGGAAAGCGUGAAAAGGUUUGUUUCCUAGGAUCUCUUUUACUUGAACAGAAAUUGGUUGUCUUGAGGUGCUUUCAUGGUGAUAUUGAUGGGAUAGACUCAGCUUGUCCAGUAGAUAAUCAAUUGAAUUGCAGUUACUUGUGUGACUAGAUGUAUGUGUGUUUGGAUUUUGUUAACUUUUGUUGCUCCAAACAGACCAUCAUUGAGAAAGAGAACAACUUCAAGCAGCCUGGAGAGAGAUACCGAUCAUGGACACCUGACAGGUAUCCUUCAGUUGUGCAUAUCCUGAUAAUGGUUUGAUGGUCUCAUGUUUCUCAAUCAUUUGUCUCUAUCUUCUUUUUUCAGGCAAGAGCGGUUCAUCUGCCGAUGGGUCGAUGCUUUGUCUGACCCACGCAUGAGAUCCGCAGCGUCUGGAUUUCAUACUGGUCUCAGGUGAGAUAGCUGUUUACUUCUUGUCUAGCCUGAUGGAGCUGGAGCGGGUUAAAGUGAAAAAUGUAAUAUUUAACAUGCAGAAAUGGGGGAUUCGGUUGUUGCUUGCUUUGUGAGAUACACACACACACACACAUGCAGAUGUGAUAAUGAACUCAUUUGAGAUUACUUGCAAUUGCAACAGGCCGACAAAUCUCUGGGUCAGAAAUUAGCAUCUCGGCUCAAUGUGCGACCAAGCAUUUAAGGACCAGACAAAGCUGGAUGUUCUGGGAUGGAUCAAGCACAAAAUGAUGUCCGACCUAUAAAACUCUGUUCCAAUGCUUAUUUUUUGUUGUGGUAUAUUGAACUUGCCCUGUCAUACAAACUCUCUGGCAACAUGAUAUUCCUGAUUUAAUAAAUGCCAAAUGCCAAUUGCAUGUGCUGAUCUUACUCCUCUGUGGUUGGUUAUCACUUUCUCCUGAAGUCUCAUCUACAUAAAAUAUUAAGUGAGCAGAUCGUAUUGCCGGUAAUAUCAUCAUGCAUUUGAUUACGGGUGGUAAAUUCAACCUCCUCACUGCUCUCAAGCACAUCAGUGAAAGUAUGCUGUUUACUGCGCCUUCUGCUAUGUGGGACGAGAAGUUAGAAUUAAGAGUUAAUUUGCCUCCAUUCUUUUGACGGUGGAUUGUGCUUGAGUGACAGUACCAACUCAUCGUUCCUGCAAACAAUAGAGUAAAUCGAGUUCUGUUACAUUUAGCAAUGCAGGCAUUAGCUCAUGGAGGACGGCACGUUAGGACUAUCUUCGGAUCUCUGCUUCAUAAAAGGGCAAAUUAACUUGGAAGGUGCCUGAGAGACCAGAAGAUCGAUAAAUCAAUCUCACAAAUAAUUCGAAUGCAUCUCUGUUGAAACGUUUGAUCAUGUGUGGAACUCCAGUCUAGACAACUGUACACACAAAUUUGGCCGUGAAGAGCCAACCCCACCUGCACUGCGAUCCGUGACAAAAAUUUAACAAGAGAACCGCCUUUAGAGUUGCUGACAUUCUACUUGCAAAUUUCUACCGCCUGAGUUGCAUAUCUUACUAAAUAAGUUGAAAUUUCCAUCUCAAUAAGUCCUCGACACCGCGGAUGGGGAGUAUUGACUUUCAGAUCCACGAGACUGUCGGCACUAUGAUUGUGAUGAAUUGGUAAUCAAUGGUGGUUGUGAUGAUGCUGGUGAGAAGAAGGUGGACUCGAUGCGCCAGCCUUGGUCUCCUUCUUCUCCCGAAUGGUGUUGAUAUGUUCUAAUGUCGCCAACACUUUAUCCAUCGAGGGCCUCGCUUUAGGCUCAUCCUCCAGGCAUUUGAAGGUGAGCCCAGCUGCCUGAGUUGCAGCUUCCAGAGGGUAUCGUCCUUCUAAUCUCGGAUCCAUUAUCUUCCUCAGCUUCCUCUUGUUGUGGAGCAACGGCCUUGCCCAUUCCACCAGAUUCUGCUGGCCGCUGGGGCGGGUAUUGUCGAGCGCUUGUAAACCCGUCAACAUUUCUAGGAGAAUCACCCCGAAACGGUAUACAUUGUUCUUCACAUACAGAUGUUCUGUCAAAUUGAGCCUUUAUCAUUCUGACAUGCAUUUUUAACAAUCACAUGAAAUCUUCGCUAAAGAUGAAGAAGCAUAUGAGAGGGAGAUCUCUAUGAACAGCACAGCAAUAAGAUCAUUUCGCAGAACACCUGCCAAGUAAUCUCGUAAUCUUCUAAAGAGCAUUGUUGUCACCGAUCCAAAAUCGCCCGCGGACAGGAUCUCUGUAUUACUGGUGGCAGAGUACUCAGGAGCCGCAUAGCCAUCCAUCUCGAUCGCUCGGGUGGUCACAUAAGAGUUCCCACCCACUGGUCCCUGUUUUGCUAGCCCGAAAUCCGAGAGCUUGGCAUUGUAGUCCUGGUGCCACAACGAGAGAAAGUGAACGAAGUUUCUCAAUUAAUCCCCAAGAAUGGUAGUUCUACAUCCGGGUAUCAUCUAAUAAUCACAGGCAUUUAUCAAGUAAAUUCCAUUCACAUGGACCACGUGAUCUAAAGACUCCUCCGCAUAAAUCUAAAGUAUCCGGUGCAUCAAAUGUACCAAGACAAUACCAACCAAAAUUGAGAUGCUUUAAAGUGAAAUUUGAGCUUUGUAUAGUUUGAGGCGAUGUGGGCAACAUUUAUAUGGUAUCCUUAAAAAUAAGUUCUCAAUAGCUGGAAAAAACAAAUGAAAAUAAUCAAGUAGAUAGAAAAAUUUACCUCAUCCAAUAAUAUAUUGGAAGAUUUAAAAUCCCGGUAGAUGACGUUAUUCUCGGGUGUACGCAAGAAUUCAAGCCCACGGGCAGCUCCGAUGGCUAUUUUAAGCCUCACGUCCCACGGAAGUGGUCCAGCUUUCCCUGAAUUACCAUGAGCAUUUUUUUUUUCCUUUUGCUGUCUGAUAUCCGAGUGAAAAAAAAAAGGUGAUGCUUAGCAAAAAAAAAAGCCGGUAAUGCAAAUGAUCUUACUUUUGAAAAGGUGAUUUUCUAGGCUUCCCCUCUUCAUGUACUCGUACACGAGUAGGUAGUGAUCGUCUUCCCAGCAAUACCCCAGUAAUCUCACCAAAUUUGGAUGAGAAACUUUCCCCAAGAACUUGACUUCCGACUGUGGAAAGAUAACAAAAAUAGAAUUUAUUGUUAACCAACGCACAUAAAAUUGUGUCGAAAAUUUCGCCAUCUUUUGCACGAGCUAGUGUGAGUUCAAUAAAUUAUGUGCAGCAAUUUGUGCUUUUUACUAUACUAGAAAGUAUGUCUUUAUAGGCCUAAAUCAUAGGGAAAAUUUCGGAGUAUGGUCUAUAACGGGACUGUUUUCUCAGAAAAAUGAUUCAUCAUAAAUCUUGUGUUAAAUAAGGUCAUGAAAGUCUCAACUUAGUCACAUAUAAGACCGGAGCUUACCAGUUGGGUAGAUCUUUGUCAAAGGGCGAGCCCAUGCAUCUAUAUGCAUCUCUCUUGCAAAUACAUGAGCUCAUUGGUAUUGAAAAUUUGGCCAACCAGUAAGUUAGGGUCUAACCAAACUUGCAACCAAACUUGCCACCUUAAGGUUUUAUUUGAGGUAUAAUUCAUCUCAUUACUUUAAAAAAAAAAUGGUCUCAUUUCAGAUUUUUAUUUGAAAACUUAAAUGGUGUGGUUUGUUUCAAAAGGACAGGGUAAAUUAGCAGGAGGUUGGUCAGAAGGCAACAGAGCACAAGUAAUUAUUAAUCCUUACUCUAGUCAAUAUGAACUCUCGAGUCUGAGAGUCGGGUUUCCGGCGCCCUCCGAAGCGGAAACAAUUUAUAAUUGAAAUAUUUUUUGGUCAAGAAUUGGACACAAAGAAAAAGAACUUCACAAUUAGUUAAAAGGAAAUCACUCAUUUCGAAAUGACCUUUUCAAUCCGGAAAAAAAGAAAAAAUCUUUAGUAUGUCCUCUCCCCCUCUUACUGAAGGAGGGGUCAACUGUUGCAAAUUGUCCAGGUCGUCUUUGGCUUCUCAUCGCUGAUUAGCAUGUGCUUUAUUUUCAAUUCGAGUGAGAAGCAUUGUGUCGUAUGGAUCGAGCGGGAGAGGAUGGAAUUUUAGUAUGAAUGUUAAGUACGCACCUGCCAUUGGCGCAAGCCCUGAUCGCCGUUGAGAUUGGACUUCUUGACGGCCACCGGGAUGCCGCUGCCGACCUCGGACGGGGCGAGCGUCCUCUCGUCCACCCAGCCCUUGAACACCCUUCCGAACCUGUCCUCCCCGAGCAUCGUGUCCGGCCUGAAGUUCCGGGUCGUGCUCUUCAGCUCCGCCAGCGUGUACAUUUUGAGGUAGGGCGUUAUCACCUCCCCGACUUUCGCCGUGGCUGGAGGUUCAUCCUUGCCACUGCCACUUGCCGCCGCCUUCUUGUUCUUGCUUCCCACCAACGCAUCUCGCUUUACCUUUGGGUUCUUAGCAAGAGCUUCUAUAAAAUUACCAAAAAAAAAAAAAAAAAAAAGAGGUGAAAUGUGAACUUAGCUUACAUCUAUCGGAAAGUAACGAUAAUAAAUAGUAGAUGAAAGUAUAGUUUAUUAUUUAAAAUUUUUAACACUCUCUCUGACACGUAUUUUUUUAUUCAUUUCCAUUAAAAAGAAAUGGAUAAUGCAUUCCAACUACUAACCAAAACUAAUCCCAAGCAAUUUCAAAGCAAAAUAAAUUCCAGUAGUAAAGUUUGUGGUCACAUGUUCAAAGAGCAGAAUUAUAACUUCUUCAAAUCAAAAUCGACAGCCGAUUACCAAAUUCGUUUCUUGCAAUGAGCACACAUCAAUAACUCUAUUUAUUACUAAGAUUUUGCCUUUCGAAAAUGUAUGCAUAGAUUUAGGUCCCCAACACGAUUGUUGUUCAGAUUAAGAGAGCAAACUACUUCAUGAAAACUGAAAACAUACAUACACAAAAUCUAGUAGUCGGACUAAAAAGACUUGAACUCAAGAGUUCUCACUUGGAUAUUAUAAACAUAUUAUAUUAUCAAUCCUAUAUUUUUCAACGACAACAACAACGAUUAAGCAAACGCUUCCACAAACUCUCUCCCUCUCCAUAUAUGUCUGUUUUGACAUGAAGCGGUUCUCCCUUUCUUAUUUCGGUGGGUGAAUGGUAGCCGGAGAGGGUUGUGAGGUUCGAGGAAAAAGAGAAGCAGCCGCCGAGAAGCUAAAGAAAAGAGAAACAAAAUCGGCUCGGUGCCAGCAACCACAAGGUCUUGACUUUUCUGCUUCCAUCUCCGUCAAAUUACCAAAAACAUUAUAAACAUAUUAUAUUAUCAGUCCUAUAUUUUUCAAUUAAGUUAAUUUAAUCCAUUCAAUCAAUUUUGAUUGGAAAUCAUUGACAUGUAACAGACAUUAGCGUGAAUAAUAUUUUAUUUUUUAUUACUAGAUUUGACAGUAAAUUAUGAGAGAUUUAUAUUCAUUUGCACUGAUAUAUCAUAAAUACCAAACAAUUGACAUCAUAUUAUAUGAAAUUAUUUGGUGUUAUUACUAUAAUUUACCAUACAAUAAAUAUGAUAUAACAAAAUAUCUUAAUUAUAUAUCAUAUUUUAUCAAAUCCUAAUUUGGUUAGAAAUUUAAACGAUCAAACGCAAUCAAUAGGGGUGGAAGAAGUAUUUGACUAGCGCUUGAGAUAAUGAAUUUCUCUUAUACCAAUUACAAAAAUUGAAUAUCCACAGAAGAAAGAAGGCCCUUACUUUGAGACGCUGGCGGUCCUGUCAUAGCUUUCCUUCCAAGUUGGUCAGAAUUUAGGCCCAAUUUCCGUUUCCGCUUUUCUGCCUGCCGAAUAGGCAUUUCCCAUCUUUAUCAACCAAGAAAUAAGAUGCUGACAGGGAGAUCAAGCCUACUUUUGCGACUAGAACAAAUGAUUGGCUGAAUCCAGAAAGCAUGUAUGCAAUCCCCACAUGAUCUCGAACCACAUCGUCCCCAAUCGAUUCUUUACUAGAAAAGAGCAACGCUCACAAAAAAGAACUCCUCACCUUCUCUCCCAUCCCUCCACUCCUGGUGUCUGAAUCAGUUCUGGCCUGAGAGAAAGGCGCGAAGAGCACCGUUCCUGGGAAGAAUGGACAAGAACCUGUCUGGAUCCCGAUAGAAAUAUCAUUAAUUCCAUCGGAGUUUUUACUAAAUAAAAAGGUCCACCUCAGUCAGCUCGUGCUCACAAAAACGAAGUACUCACAUUCGCUACACUCUCGGUGUCUGAAUCAGUGCUGGACGGAGAGUGCCAGUUGAACACCAUUCUCGAGAAGGAUCGGCAAAAAUCUAUCUGGAUCAAUUCUGAAACUGACGGGAAUUUAGGAUCCACAGCAACGAAGGUGUGGCAGAUAUAUGUGAGUUUCCAGAUUUGCGAGGUACGCGUUCUGAUUCUGAUGCAUCAAGAGGGAUGGAAACUUACUUGUUGAAAUAGACAAUUGAAAGGAAAAAGAAAGGAAGUGUGCUUUUUCGAAGAAACUGCGGAAGCGGACUCAGUCAACCUGGGCCGAAAUUUGUCACUCCUUACAGGCCGGGCAUCAUUCAUGUCCUCUCAUUCUGAAGCUUUUGUAGUCGAAGUAAGGGUGUUUUCGGAAGGGGGAAAAAAGGUACGGGUGUUUCGUGGAAAUUUCUCCACGGAAGAAAUAUCGUUAACCGAAAAUAAUUGAGACAGGUUUUGCACCAGACAGGAAACAUUACAAGUGACUAAGAAAAUUAAUAACUUACUGCGCUGGAAUUUAAUCAUCAAUAAAACUUGAAAACAUAAAGAUAUUACGACAUAACACUAAGGAUAAAGAUAUACGCCAUAAUUUAAUUGACAGUGCAUAUUUGAAAACUACAACUAAGAAACAAGCCAGGAUUUAAUCGACAACACAAAUUGAGAAAAUAAAAGUAAAGUGCAAGUAAAGUAAUUUUGUUUAAUUUAUACAAGAGGCUUCUAUUAGACGAGCGAUGAUAUCUAUAGUGCAUAUGCCAUAUUUGUUCCUCAGCAGUUUUUUAGCAAUUGUACCCAUGUUCCUCUAUAUUCAAAAAUCCUGUGCCUAGAUUCUCACGAGGCCAUGAUCUUAUCUUCAUAUUGUCGUUUCUUUAAAAAUGGGUGCUUAUUGUUACUGGACCUUAAUCACUUCGUUUUUCAAAAACUUCAAAUUUGUACCUAUAGCUUGAUGCCCCUUAUAUGUUUAUCUUUCUCCUGACACCUUGAUAACUUGCCAUUCUUGCUUAAUCGACAUCCUUAUCAAUUGUUAUUAAUCAUACAUUAUCCUAUAUCAACAACAAUCGGUGACAAAUCUUCGAUGUGCACCAAUACCAAUACCAUGUGGUCAUCAACGGUGGGUCAUGUGCUUGACAAUAUUUGAUGCUUCAAUCGUGUGUCUACUCAUAUCAACAACCCGGUUUUUUUUUUUUUUUUUUGUGUGCAAAUAAAGGGAAGUUGAUGACUUAAUCUUGAUUGGUCCCAGCUCACCAACAGCACAAAUCUUCACGAUGAUUAUGUGCAUGUCAUAUGCCAUAUUUCACGCCAUGGUCGAGGGCAUUUUUAUCAUAAAAUUCCUUUUUUUUUUUUGCCAAUUGGGGAGGAUUAUAAAAAAAGUCCUAAAAUUAUUGUAAUUAUGUCAAUUCAGUCAUAAACUUUUUUCUAAUUAAAUCUUAAACAUUUUGUAUUUGUACCAAUUUAGUUCAUCUGAUCAAUUUUGGUUAGAAAUUAUUAACAUAGAUGUUAGCUCAGUAAGCAUUAAUAUGGACAAUUUUUAAUAAUAUGUUUUUUAAAAUUAUUUAUUAAUUCUUUUCUUUCCUUUAUUUCGUUCCUUUCUUCUUCUUUUUUCUUUCCUUUUUCUUCUUCCUCUAGUCAAUCGCUGACCACUAGCUAGAGGCAAGGGCGACUAGGUCGACCUCGCUGAUUCUUGCAAGGUUGAGCCUCGCAGGUCACCUCACCUCCGGCUAGUCGUUGGCUUUCAUUCCGAGUCAAGGCAUAUUGGAGUUUUCUGGCUUUUCAUCCUUAUACAUCAUUCUGCUGUUGGUGUGCAGCCGUUAGCAUGUGCAUAGGAAGAAAUUACUCGGUGAACUACUCUUGAGUCAAGGCAUAUUGGAGUUAAAAAUAUGCAGAGAAAAUUAUCCAAAUUCAUCAAGACACAAUAGAACCUAAUUUUAGAGUAAUGCUAAGCGUGGAAUAUGCUAAAGGCAAACUAUCAUCUACGUCACAGGUCCAAUUCUUCUUGACGAUUAUCACCUUGUGGAGAAACUUGCCAACUUUGAUAGGGAGAAAAUUCCGGAGUGUUGUCCAUGCCAGGGGAGCCAGUGCAAAGGGAUUCUUUGAGGUCACUCAUGACAUUUCUCACCUUACUCGUGCCGAUUUCCUUCAGGCACCAGGAGUUCAAACACCUGUGAAUGUCCGUUUCUCCAUCCUCAUCCACGAAAGGGGUGGCCCUGAAACCCUGAGGGACCCUCGGGGUUCUGAUGUGAAGUUCUAUACAAGAGAGGUAAGGGAGACAUGAAUGUGCAGCAUGGACGAGCACGAGUAUGAUGCUCCCUGUGAUGAAUCCUUUCACAGGUGGCCUAAACUCAACCGAUGCAUAUCGCAGUUCUCUUGUCCACAUUGCAUACAUUUGUUUUGCUGCACUUUGCUGUGUGAUCUUACCUUUUCCGUUACUACAGGGUACCUUUGAUCUCGUGGGAAACAAUUCCCCGUCUUCUUUAUCAACGAUGGGAUGAAAUUUCCAGAUAUUUUUCAUGCACUUGAACCAGACCCCAAAUCCCACGUCCAGGAGAACUGGAGGAUCCUUGACUUUUUCUCCCACCAUCCCGAGAGCUUUCGCAUGUUCACCUUCCUCUUUGAUGACAUUGGUAUUGCACAAGAUUGCAGGCACACGGAGGGCUCUGGAGUUACACCUACACUUUUAUCAACGAGGCUAGAAAAGCGCAUCAUGUGAAGUUCCACUGGAAACCAAUUUGCGGGGUCAAGAGCUUGCUGGAGGAAGAGGCAAUUAGAGUUGGUGGAUUCAAUCACAGCCAUACAACUCGGGAUCUUUAUGAUUCCAUUGCUGCCGGAAACUAUCCUGAGUGGGAACUUUUCAUUCAGAUUGUCGAUCCUGAUCAUGAAGACAAAUUCGACUUUGACCCACUUGAUAUGACUAAGACCUGGCCCGAAGACAUAUUGCCCCUAAUGCCAGUUCGCCGCUUGGUCUUGAAUAGGAACAUUGAUAACUUCUUUGCUGAGAAUGAACAUCUUGCAUUUUGCCCUUCAAUUGUGGUUCCCGGCGUCUACUGCUUAGAUGAUUGGCUGCUUCAAACUCGUAUGUUCUCAUAUUCUGAUACUCACAGGCACCGCCUUGGACCAAAUUAUCUUCAACUCCCCCUAAUGCUCUUAAAUGUGCUUAUCACAAUAAUCACCACGAAGGUUUCAUGAAUUUCAUGCAUAGGGAUGAAGAGGUAAGAAUUUUCUUUGAAUCCUACCGCAGCGAUACUCUGGGUCGCGUCUCUUGUGGAUUUUUUGUCGACGUAACUAAGGCAUCACGCUUUCCUUGAAGUAUGAAGGCGUAGUGAUGCAAUCUGACGUGUCCAUUACAGAUCCCAAAGUGGCAGUGCGAAUGUCCUCUCUCCUUGUUAGCGGAGGAUUACUUUUUUUAUCUUGCAAAUGCCCUUUGUGUCUGAAACAUGCACACUUGUUUACACAUGUGGGAAAUUCCUGUCUGUUAUUAUGUAAAAUGAUGGAUUAUCUGUUGAGCAAAUGCUUAAUUUCCCUUUUGCAGAUAAAACUAUUUUCUUUCAAGGUAUGAUCCCGUUCGUCAUGCAGGGAGAUAUCCAUUCCACCUGCUAUGCUGACUGGAAAGCGUGAAAAGGUAUGUUUCAUAAUCCUAUUUUACUUGAAUAGAGAUUGAUUGCUUGAGGUGCUUUCAUGUUGGUAUCGAUGGGAUGGACUCAGCUUGUCCUGUAAAUAAUCAAUUGAAUUGCAGUGAGUGGUAUGACCGAUGUAUGUGUGUUUGGAUUUUGUUAAUUUUUGUUGGUCCACACAGACUAUCUCUGAGAAAGAGAACAACUUCAAGCAGCCCGGAGAGAGAUACCGACCAUGGACGCCUGACAGGUAUCCUUCAGUCGUGCAUUUCCUGAUAAUGGUGUGAUGGUCUCAUGUAAGAGAAGUUCAUCUGCCGAUGGAUCGAUGCUUUGUCUGACCCACGUGUGACUCAUGAGAUCCGCAGCAUCUGGAUUUCAUACUGGUCUCAGGUGAGACAGCGUUGUCUAGUCCUGAUGGCAUGGGUUGAGGUGAAAAAUAUAAUAUUCAACAUGCAGAAAUGGGGGAUUCGGUUGUUGCUUGCUUUGUGAUAUAUAUGUGUGUGUGUGGGUGUGUGUGUGUGUAUACAUCCAUGCAGAUGUGAUAAUGAACUCAUUUGAGAUUACUUGCAAUUGCAACAGGCCGACAAAUCUCUGAGUCAGAAAUUAGCAUCGCGGCUCAAUGUGCGACCGAGCAAUUAAGGACAAUACAAAGCUGGAUGUUUUGGGAUGGAGCAAGCACAAAACGAUGUCCGAGCUAUAAACUCUGUUCCAAUGCUUAUUUUUGUUGUGGUAUAUCAAACUUGCCCUGUCAUACAAACUUUCUAGCAACAUGAAAUUCCUGAUUUACUAAAUGCCAAUUGCAUGUGCUGAGCUCGUCAAAAAGAUCUAAUCGCUUCAGGAUCACCGAGGUUGAUGCUUCCCAUAAUUUCUUAUGCCCAUAUAGCAAUUUGGGUUUCCAUCAGUCGAGUGCUUCAAUUUAAAAAGUAAGUUUUUUUUUUUUUUUUUUUCAAGUUAAAAAGUAUGUUUCGCCUCAUUGUUUCAAGAAAUCCAAAUCUUCAAGAGAUAAUUUUUUUUGGAACUCCUUAUAUAUGAGGUAAUGAAUCCAACCAAUCGCCACUAGUCAUUGCAUGAGUAGUUGACUCAUUUCUAGCCGUUUGAUAGAACACAUAAUGAAGGAAAUAAUUAAGCCACAAUUCUAGUUCUAAUUGAUAACAUCUGAUCACAUCCAAUCAGACUUUCCACUUGAAAAAUAAUCAAAGUCUUUAUUUUGGAUAAGUUUGAUCAAUCUUCAAAAUCAAUUUAGGAAAUGUCCUCAACACAAACAUGAGAGUAAAUCGAGUUUUAUUACAUUUAGCAAUGCAUGCGUUAGCUCAUAGAGGACGGCGCCUUAGGACUAUCUUCGGAUCUCUGCUUCAUAAAAAGGCAAAUUAGCGGGGGAGGCGACUGAGCAUGAGCGGGGGAGGCGACUGAGCAUGAUCACCAUAUAUGGAUUUCCUUUUCUUUGUUCAAGUUUCUCCUUUUGUCAUCCUUCUGUAAUAUUAUUAUCCCUGAUCUUAUAAGAUCAGAAGAUGAUCUUAUAAGAUCAGAAGAUCUUCGAUAAAUCAAUCUCGCAAAUAAUUCGAAUGCAUCUUUGGUGAAACUUCUGAUCACGUUUGAAGCCCCAGUCUAGACUAAUGUAUACACAAAUUUGGCCGUGAAGAGCCAACUUCUCCUGCACUGCGAUCCUUGACAAAUAUUUGACAAGAGACUAGCCUUUACAAUUGCUGACUUCCUACUUGCAAAAUAUUUAUAAGUUAAAUCUCCAUCUCAACGAGUCGCCGACAUCAGGGCUGGGAAGUAUCAACUUUCAGAUCCACGAGGACUAUCAGCACUGUGAUUGGGGUGAAUUGGCGAUCAAUGGUGCCUAUGGUGAUGCUAGUGAAAAGGAGGCCCACUUGAUGUGCUUGCCUUGGCCUCCUUCUUCUUCUCCCUAAUGGUGUCGAUAUGUUCUAAUGUUGCCAGCACUUCAUCCAUCGAGGGCCUCGCUUCAUGAUAGCCCUCCAGGCAUUUGAGGGUGAGCUCAGCUGUCUGAGUUGCAGCUUUCAUAGGGUAUCGAGCUUCUAGUCUCGGAUCCAUUAUCGUCCUCAGCUUCCUCUUGUCGUGGAGCCAUGGCCUCGCCCAUUCAACUGGAUUCUGCUGGCUGCUGGAGCAGGUAAGGUGGAGCGCUUGUAAACCCGUCAACAUUUCUAGUAGAAUCACUCCAAAGCCAUAUACAUCACUCUUCACAUACAAAUGUCCUGUCAAAUUGAGCCAUUGUCAUUCUGUCACGCAUUUUCUAAGGUCACAAGAAAUCUUUGCUAAAGAUAAAGAAGCAUAUGAGUGGGAGAUUUGGCGAACGGAUAUUGUAGAAAGAUCAUUUUGCAAAACACAUGCCGAGUAAUCUCCUUAAUCUUCUAAAGAAUGUAGUUGUCACCGAUCCAACAUUGCCUGUGGAGAAGAAAGAUGGGAUCAUUGUCUUACCAGUGGCAAUGUACUCAGGAGCGGCGUAAACAUAUCUUUCGAUCACUUCUUCUUCUUCUAGCUUUGUCACUCGAGAGUCCUCGCGUGCCGGUCCCAGCUUUGCUAGCCCAAAAUCUGAGAGCUUGGCAUUGUAGUCCUAGGGCCAAUUUCACAAACGAGAAAAAGUGAACAAAGUUUUAAAAUUAAUUCCCAAGAAUUGUAUGUAUCAUCCAAUAGUAACAGGCAAAAUCCCAUUCACAGGGACCACAUGAUCUAAAUACUCUUCCACAAAUUCUAUAGUAUUCAAUGCAUCAAAUAUACCAACGCGAUAUCAACGGAAAUUGAGAUGUUUUAAAAUGAAAUUUGAGCCUUUUUUUUUUAUUGUUUAUUAGGUGCCAUGGGCUAUAUUUAUACAGGUGUUCUUAAAAUAAGUUUUCGCCGAAGAAGCAAACAAAAAUAAUCAAGUAGGUAAGAAAAAUUUACCGCAUCCAGUAGUAUAUUGGAAGAUUUGAACAGCCCGUAGAUGGCGUUAUUCUCGGAUGUAUGCAAGAAAUGAAGCCCGCGGGCAGCUCCGAUUGCAAUUUUAAGCCGCACGUCCCACGGAAGAGGUUCAGCUCCCUCUGCAGUGAACAAUCUUUUUCUUUCAUAUUUUUGUUUUCCUAAGCAUUUUCCUUUUGCUGUCUGAUAUUCAAGUGAAAAAGAGAGAGAGAGAGCGCAUAUUUGGUAAAGUUUCUAUUUCUUAAAUUUUCUCUUCUUUUGUUCCUUAAAACAAUAUAAGAAUAAAAAGCCAUUUGGUAAUGUAAGCUAACUUCUAUUCUCAAUUCUCAAAACAUAUCAGUGAUCAGAGAAUAUAUUUAGAAUAGAAAUAAGAAAUAGAAAAAAAAAAGUAACUUCUUUAUUUUUUAGAACAAUUUUUAAGAUAAGUUAUUUUUUUCUUUUCUUUUUUUCCAUCCUCAAGUUGUCAGUCAUCGCCCAGGUCCAGCAUCCUUGCUAGAGCCUCACUAGUGGCUAGGUGAGGUAUCGUGAGGUCGCCGACUAGAGGAGGAAGAAAAAUGGAGGAAAAAAGAGAAGAAAAAAAUUCAGAAAAAUUAGAGAAUUAUCAGAAAAUUAUUAAAAAAUAAAAGAAAAUUCACCCCAUGAAAAUAUUUAAUAGUCAUACUAAAUGCAUUCAUGUUCUUUUUCUAUUUUAAAAAUAUAAAUUUUAUAUGAUUACCAAACACAUUUAAAUGCUCAAAAAUUCGUCUAGAGAAUAAAAAUGGAAAUAUAUAUAUAUAUAUAUAUAUAUAUUUCUAUUUCAAAAAUAUAUAUUUCUAAAUAAAAAAAUAUUUUUGGAAAUAGAAAUGUUAUAAAAUGCAUCUCGGUAGACAUAUCUUAAAAAGAAAAAAAGUCAUGCGGAUGAUCUUACUUCUGAAAAGGUGAUUUUCUAAGCUUUCCCUCUGGAUGUACUCGUACACGAGUAGGUAGUGAUUGUCUUCCCAGCAAUACCCCAGUAAUCUUACUAAAUUCGGAUGAGAAAACUUUCCCAAGAACUUGACUUCCGACUGUGGAAAGAUAACAUAAAUAACAUACCUGUUAAUCCAUGCAUAUAGAAUUAGUUAUUGAACGAAUUAGUGCAAGUUCAAUUAAUUAUGUGCAGCAAUUAAUAUUUUUUACUAUACAAAAAAUUAUGUGUUUAUAUACACAUUAUAGAGAAAAUCUCAUAUAAAAAUCUGAGAUGAAGCUGUUUUCUCAAAAAAUGGUUUAAAGCUCCCAACUUCGUUUCAAUUAAGACCCGAGCUUACUCGUCGGUGAGCCAAUUCUUUGCCAAACGGCGAGCCCAUGCAUCUAACAUGCAUCUUUCAUCCAAUGCACGUGCUCAUUAAUAUAAAAAAAUUAGCACACCGAUGAUUUCGAUAUUUAAGACUAAGUUGGCCACUUCAAUGCCUUAGUUGAGAUAAGAUCUACUCAAAUUUUUCUUCUUCUUCUUCUUCUCUUUUUUAUAAGAAAAUGGCCCCAUUUCAGAUUCUUAUUUCAAAUUUUCCCAAAAUCAUAAUAUACUGUGCAUGAAAUAGUGUGGUUUGUUUCAAAGGACAAGGUAAAUAAGCAGGAGGUUGGCGAAUAGGCAACGAAGCUUAGGUAAUUAACUGAUCCUUACUUUAGCCAAUAUGAACUCGAGUUUUUUUUUUUAAUCUUUUUUUUUUGGCAGCAGGAUUGGCGCCCAUCAAAUUUGAAACUGUUUAUAAUUGAAAUAUUCUUUGGUCUAGAAUUGAACCAAAAAAGAACUUUGUAAUUAUUAAAAAAGACCUUUAAUUCGGAAAAAAAAUCAAUAUACUCUCCCACCGUGAGGAGUCAACUUUUUCACAUUGUCCAGGUCCUCUUUGCUUCUUCUGGUGGUUUAUUAGGAUGUCCCAUAUUUUAAAAAAUUAUCUAAAAAGUCAUAAACUUAUUACAUUUUUAUAAUUCAGUUUUAAACUUUUUAAUUGUACUAAUUAAAUUCUAAAUAUUUUCAUAUUUUACCAAGUAAUCCCAUUAGGCUAACUUUGGCUAGAAAUCGCUAAUAUGGACACUAGGCUUCCUACAUGGAACGACCAACAAUGACGUGAACAAUUUUUAAUAAUAUUUUAAUUUUUUUUUCAAUUUAUAUAUCUAUUUAUUCUUUAUUCUUUUUUUUUUCUUCUCUAUUCCUUCUUGACUUUUUGCUUUUUUAUUUUCUCUUCUUUUUCUUUUUCCCUUUGUCGACUAUCACUAAACCUCAUCUAUGGCCAAUGGAGGUCACCAGCCUUAGGUAAGGGAUGCCCAUGUGAGGGUCACUCUUGUCAACCCCUAGCAAGGCCCUUACCUAGGUGAUCGUGGGCUACCUCUUCUAAGCUAGCAAGGGUAAUCCUUGCCCUCACCCAAUCUGGUGAAGGGACUUGAGGCCGACAAGGGCAGCCCUCACCCGAGGUUGGCAAAGGGAGAAAGGAAAAAAGAAAAAAAGGAAAAAUUAAAGAAAAUAAAAUAAAAAAUUCAAAAAAUAACUACAAAAAUUUAAAAUAUUAAAAUUAUUAUAAAUUGUCUAUGCCAAUGCCGAUCAUGCCAGCCAACAUUCAUGUUAGCAAUUUCUAAUUAAAAUUAGCUGAGUGGACUUAAUUGAUAAAAUGGUUAAUACCCUGAAAAACCCUAAACUAGUACACCUGUGACAAAUUUACCCAAAACUAUUUUUUUGACCACCAAAAACCCUAAACUGUUAUAUCUUUGACAAAUUUACCCCAAAUUGGUACACUUGUGACAAAUUUACCCUAUGUUAGUUUUCGUUAAAUUUUGAUUAAGUUAAAUGAUACGUGACAAUUAACUGGUAUAUAAAUUUGCGAUUUUACACUCCAUUUGUCACAGUUUACAAUUUUUGUGAUUUUUUUGUGAUAUUAAUCCAAUUUACCGGAAUGUAUAUUUGUCACAAAUUUACUAGUUUAGGAUUUUUUGUGAUUGAAUAAAUUAGUUUUGGGUAAAUUUGUCAUAAAUGUACAAGUUUAGAGUUUUUUAUGGUCAGUCGGGGUAAAUUUGUCACAAGUGUAGUAGUUUGGGGUUUUUCAUGGUUUGUGAUAAAUUUGUCACAGGUGUACCAGUUUGGGGUUUUUCAGGGUAUUAACCCUUGAUAAAAUGUAAAAAGAUUGAGGAUUGAAUUAUCACAAUUAUAAGGUUCAGAAUAGAUUUGAAAUUUUUGGUAAUUUUUCCUACUUAUUUUAUAUUAAAGUGAGGAGCAUUGUCACAUACUACUAUGUAAAGUGGGGAAAAUUACAUAAAAAUCAUAAACUUUUUACAAUUAUGUCAGUUUGGUCUUAAGCUUUUUGUUGGCCAAUUUAGUCCUUGGCCGACCGGCGUCCACAAAAGGGCCGGUCAUUCAGCUGUUGCUCAUGUGAAUAAUUUCUUAAUAAUAUUUAUUAUUCAUUUAUUUUUAUUUUCCUCCCUCCCUCUCUCUCUCACCCAUGCCAACGGCCGAUAGGGGCAAGCUUCGCCAUUCAUCUCUAGCCGAUCACUAAGGUGUGAUGACUAAUGACUAACUAGAGGAAGAAGGAAGGAGGAGAGAGAGGGAAAAAAAAAAGAGAAACAAGGAAAAAAUAAACUAAAAAAUCUGAAAAAAUAAAAUAUGAUUAAAAAAUUAUCCACGUCAAUGUUGAUUGCAAAUGAACUAAAUUGGUAUAAUUACAAAAUGUUUAGGAUUGAAUUAGCAAAAAAAAAUUUAGGACCGAUUGACACAAUUAUAAAAAGUUCAUGACUUUUUUGAUAAUUUCCCCUUAUAAAGUGCUUUCAACAAAAAUGUAAACUCGAAAUCAUCAAACGAAAUAUAGACCGCUUGGGAGAUAGUGGAAUUGUAUAAAUGUAAAUAUGCACCUGCCACCUGCACAAGCCCUGAUGGCUAUCAGGAUUAUACUUCUUGAUGGCAACCGGGAUGCCAUUGCCGACAUGGGACGGGACGAGGGUGUUCUCGUCCACCCAACCCUUGAACACCCUCCCAAACUUGCCCUCCCCAAGGAUCGUGUCCGUGCUAAAGCUCCUGGUCGCGCUCUUCAGCUCCGCCAGCGUGUACAUCUUCAGGUUGGGCAUUAUCACUUUCGCUGCAGCUAGAGCUUCGUCCGUGCCACUGCUACUUGCCGCCGGUAGCUUCCCGUUCUUGCUUCCCACCAACACAUCUUGCUUUACCUUAGAGCUUACCUUAGGGCUUUUAGCGAGACCUAAUAUACAUAUGAAAAGGAAAGAAAGAAAAAGGAAAUGAAAAAUACUAUACUUAACUAUUAGAUAAAUGUGUGGUUAUUAUUUAAAUAUUAUAACACUCUCAUUCAUAUGUAAAUUGGACUUUGGCUUAAGUUUAAUGGAUGAAAAUAUAUAAUUAGGAAGACAAAUAAGAGCCUAGAAAGAUUUGAAUUCUGAACAUUUUGUUUUUUUGUCAUGUGAGAUUUUAUAGCAUUGUUACUAACUAUUUAAAAAUUUUAAGUUAUUAAAUUGAGGUUUAAUUUAUUAUUUAAAUAUUUUAAGAGUGAUGAUCCACCGGAGCCCAUCAUCCGGAGCCAAUCAUUUUCCCAGUAAUUCCCCGUGAUCAAUAACGACGACGACGAUUAAGAAAACGCCUCCACAGACUCGUCCUCCCUCUCUCUCUCUCUCUCUCUCUCUCUCUCUCCGUGGCUGUUUUGACAUAAAGCAGGUCUCCCUUUCUUAUUUCGGUGGGGUAAUGGCAGCUGGAGAGGGUUGUGAGGUUCGAGGAAAAAGAGAAGCGAAAGGAAAGAGGAGAAACAAAAUCUUCUCGCUACCAGCAACCACAGGCUCCUUUCUCCUCUUGACGUCGACUCUUUUGGAAUAGAAAAAUAUCAAAAAAAUUAUAAACUUAUUGCAUUAUCGGUCAUAAACUUUUCAAUUGAAUUAAUUGAAUUAUAAAUAUUAUAAAUUUGUAACAAUUGAGUUCAUCGUCGUAUCAUCGUCGUACAUGACAUAAUUAACGUUGACGUAGAUAAUUUUUUUUUUAAUUUUAAUUUUUUUUUAGUUUUACCCUUUUUUUUUUUUUAGAUUUGGCAAUGAAUUAUGAGAGCCUUUAAAAUCUCCAUUUGUACAUUUUCAUGUUCAUUUAUACUAAUAUGUUGUAGAUACCAAAUAAUAGACAUGAUAUGAUAUGAAAAUAUUUGGUUUUAUUAUUUGAUUCACUAAAUAAUGCAUAUAAUAUAGUAAAGUCUCUAGAUUAUAUAUUCUAACAUAUUCAAUCAUAUACUGACUAGAAAUUUAGACGGCCAAACACAAUGUAUGAGCUUGAAAUAUACGAACUCGGUCUUCCAUUAUACCAAUCACAGAAGAAUUGAAUAACCACGGAAGAAAGAAGACCCUUACCUCGAGACGCCGAUAGUCCUCUCAUAGCUUUCCUUCUAAGUUGGUCAGAACUUUUGCCCAGUUUCCACCCCCGCUUUUCUACCUGCCGAAUUAGGCGUAAUCCCAUCUUUAUUGACCAAGAAAUAAGAUGCUCACGGAGAGAUUAAGCCUAUUUCUACAACUAGAACAAAUGAUUGACUGAAUCCAGAGAGCCUGUAAGCAAUCCCCACGUAAUCUCGAACCACUUCGUCCCCAGUAGAAAUAUCAUCAAUUUCCAUUGACUCUUUACUGAAAAAGGAUGCAACUCGAUCAGCUCGUGCUCACAAAAACGAAGUACUCACCUUCGCUACACUCUCGGUGUCUGAAUCAGUGCUGGACGGAGAGAGAGGCCCGUUGAACACCAUUCUGGGGGAAGGAUCAGCAAAAAUCUAUCUGGACGAUUCUGAAAUUGACGGGAAUUUGGGAUCCACAGCGACGACGGCGCAGCAGAUGUAUGCGAGACUUAUAGAUCUGCCGGGUAGGCGUUCAGACUCUGAUGCAUCAGGAGGGACGGAAAUUCCCCGUUGAAGUAGACAGCAAAAAGGAAAAGAAAAGACGUGUGCUUUCGCAAAGAAAUUGUGGAAGCCGACAGACAGUCAGUCGACCCGGUGGUCAUCGUGCCCCUGCAUUCUGAAACUUUUGCACUUGAAGAAGAGAAAAUAUUGCAUGCCCUCAAAGAAGGGUGUCUUUUGAUAAAUAUAGAAAAAGUAAGGUACUUUCCUGGAAUUUCUCUCCCGAUACCAACAAUCAUUGAGGCCGAGAUGGACUCUGCACUAACUCCAGUCAAGAAGUACAGCAAGACAAAGUUUUGUAAUAUUGACUUUUCAAAGGGUGGGGCCCAGAAAAAGGAAAAGAGAAAAGGAGCCCACCGUGUAAUUAAAGGAAGAGAGAGAAGAUCGAGAGCAAUGCGGGAAAAAAAAGGGAGGGGAAAUAAGUAUAAAAAGAAAGGGAAAAGAGAAAGGGCACGUCACAGAGCCUCACCAAGCCACAAGGCCCGCAACGCCCGUUGAGUGCUCCCGUCCCUUAUUCUCCCAAUAGGAUUACUUGUUGCGACUAAAGGCUUAAAUUCAAUUAUGUGAGAUUUAGGUCACGAAAUCCAAUUUUUGAGUCGUUGAGUUAUAAAAUUUCAUAAAAAUUAUGUAUUAUAUUAUUAUAGAGUCGUGGGGUUUGAUAGAGUUUAAUUUGAAGCAUCGAUUUUAAGAUUUUGCAUUCAAGUUUCGCAUUGCAUUUAAUUUUGAUAAUUACUUUGAGAGAGUGAUUCAUUAGUACAUAAAAGUCAUUUUGUUAGCAUUUAGGUGUAAUUUUACCGUUUUAUAUUCGAGAUAGAGUUCUAUUUGAUUUUAAUGUCGAUUCUCAUUUAAUUGUUAGAAUUAUAAAAUCAUUAACUCGUUUAAUUACGCAUUGUUUGGUUUGGGCAUUCUCAGGCGAGUAACGUUAUCUCUUCUUUGAGUUUGUAAAGUGAAAGAGAUUUGAUAUGUUUUGACUUAUGAAAUAAGAAUUUUGUUGCAUAAAAUAUAGGAUCGAGCACAAUCUACUUUUAGGUUAUUUGUGAAUGAUUUGCGAAACACUUUACAUUUUAUGAAAGACGUUUUAAGAAAAUUUUAUGAAAAACCUUUCAAAGGUUAUACAUAUCAAUUUGUGAAUUUAGUUUAUGAAUUUGUGAAUUAGUGAAUUUAGAGCAAGGCAGAGGCGGGCUAAGGCUUCGCCAGCUGUAGGCAAGGUCUGUACGUGCAGAGGCGGGCUAAGGCUUCGCCAGCUGUAGGCAAGGUCUGUACGUGAAGAUGGACAAGAGCACGAGCGUGAAGGUGGAGAUCCGUAGCCGCAAGGUCUGCAAACUCAUUGACAAGACGCUCAAGCUCGCCCAGACCUGGCUUCUUCGAGCUCGAGUAAGAUCCACUCCUGAGUGUCGGUACCGGUAGACCAGCGAAUGCGGAGGUCUACUUUGACUCCUUUUUUUUUUUUUUUUUCUUAGUUCGGAAGCUUCUACAAGAUCUGUUGACCGAGCAAUCCACGAUUUUCAUCUUGAAAAGUGGGCGGAGGACGAGGCAAGACGAAACGACCAAGAUGAUUCCCAUGGCCGCGUGAGCCCUUAUUUAAUAAGGCCAAAAAACAAUGAAGGAACCGUGCUUCCUCCUAGAGAAAGCUUGCAAGCAUAAUCAAUAAAAGAGCCUACUUAUUUGUGUUUUCUUUUUUAAAGUAUAAAUUAAUUUUUUCACAUUCCUACUAAACUUUAAAAUAUUAUUCAAAUUACCCAAAAAUAUUAUAUGAAACUAAAUAUCAAAAUACUGAAGGCUAUUAGAGACUCCUUUACGAACCUUUGGAAGGAAAUAGAGAAAGAAAAAGAAAGAUGUGAGAAAUGGCUACUAUUAAAGCAUCUAUUUGGGAGAUUAUCAAAAGAGUCCUAAAUUCAUUAUAAUUGUGUCAAUUUAGUUUUAAAUAUUUUUUUCUUGCAAUUUGAGUUCUAAACCUUUUGCAUUUGUGUAAAUUUAAUCUAUCCAACCAAUUUUAGUCAAAAAUCGCUAACAUGGAUAUUAAACAUCCUAUAUAGUGUAGCCAACAUUGACGUAUACUAUUUUUUCCAAAAUUUUCAUUUUUUUUUUCAUUUUUCUUUUCUUUCUUUUUCUUUCUUUGUUUUUCUUCCAUUGUUUUUCUUCCUCUAGGGUAGCCAACAUUGUGAUGUGUACUGUUUUUUCCAAAAUUUUCAAUUUUUUCCUUUUUUCUUUUCUUUAUCUUUCUUUCUUUGUUUUUCUUCCCUUCUUUUUCUUCCUCUAGCCGCUCACCGAACCUCAAUGACGACCGGCCAAAGGUAAGGGCCAACGAGGGAGAACCUUGCCAUGGCUACGCAAGGCAUGACCUUGCCAGAUCUAGGAAGGUUAGGCCUCGCCCAUGGUUGAUGAGGCUAGACUCUUGCUAGCCUAGCAAGCAGCCUACACAUGGCUCGCCUGACCUCACUAGCCCUCACCUCUAGUCAGUUGCCAAGGUCUAGUGACCGACUAAAGGAAGAAAAAGAAGAAGGAGAAGAACAACAACAACAACAAGGCAAGAAAAAAAAAAGACAGAGAACGAAAAGAAAAAAGAAAAAGAAAAUAAAUAAAUGAUUAAUUUGAAUAAAUAAUAAAAAUUGUGACAGCAUCACGAUUGCUAAUGUCCAUAUCAACGGUUUCAAGUUAAAAUUAAUCGGAUGAACUAAAUUAACACAAAUACAAAAUAUUUAAAACUCAAUUAACAAAAAAAAAGGAUUAAGUUGGCACGAUUACAAUAAGUUUAGGAUUUUUUGGAUAAUUUUUCUGUUCAUGGGUUACCUAUCCUAAUUAAUCCCAAUGUAUAUGAAUUUAUUAAUCGAAAAUCGUCUUAUGGUGUAUGAAUCUGAUGUGGAGCACGUUUUGUUUGCUAUUUCUAAUUUUUUUAGCAAGUACUCGGUAGAAGUGAAGAAGGGGCUUGCUGGCCUCAGCGAGGCUUGCCCAGCCCCACCGGUGGCUAGGUGGGCCUUGCCCAACCCCGGCGAGGCCCGCCUGGCCACCAGCGAGGCUGGGCGAGCCUCGCUAGAUCUAGCGAGGCUGAGCCUCAGCGAGACUGGGUGAGCCUCGUCGCGGGCCUCGCCCAACCCCGGUGAGGCCGACCUCACCGAGGGCCGACGACGCUUCGAUGAGGUCGCCGACCCUUGUCUGGCCAGUUGCCGGUUCGACAACUGGCCUAAAGAAGAAGAAGAAUAGGAGGAAAAAGAAAAAAAAAUGAAAAAAGUAUAAAAAUUAUUUAAAAAUUAAAAGAAAUUGAUUUAGAACAUAAUCAAUUAGCACGGUAUCAAACACAAUUCUAUUCCAGAAUAAAAAAAUUUGGACAGUUACUAAACAGCUUAAAAUUGUUGGAAAAAACUUUCUUGCGUGUUUUGAAGCUGACAAAAUGUUUUUAUCAGUUUCGUUUGAAGACUUGCAGACUCUUUCAACAAAGUUUGAAGACCGCCGGACCGCUAAACUCAAGAUUCAAAGUCUAUCCUCAUUGACAGUUUCUAGACCGUCGAAGAAGACUUAUUCAGAAUUAAAUAUUUCUUUAAGGAUUUGAUUCUAUCGACUAAAGAAGAUCUCUCGGCUGGAUAUAGCAUCUCGGAAUCCAUUAUUCAUCUUAAGAUUGAUCAGACAUUUUGGAUCCGUUGAUUGGCGAAGUAUACUUGGAAGGUUCUACUUAUGGAACCUAAAUCCUAAUUGUAUAAGCGAGCAGGAUUUGUGGGCUAUCGUCAUAUUCCUUAAAUAACUCGAAAUCUCAUUAAUUGAUUCUGUCCAAUUGGUAGAUUGGAAGAGCUCCUUUGGUCAAUGCCAACGGUUAUGAUGGCAUGAAGGAGUAUAUAAUGAAGAUGUUCUAGUUAUUCGAGUGUGUGCGUGAUAGAGAAAUUUCAAAGUCUGAAGCUCCUUGUUCUUUGUCAAUUCAAUUGUUGAGCGUGAACUUGUACUCAAAAGAGAGUUUAUACUUCUGUGAGACCUUGAGGAAGUGUAGCAGAGUCUCUCUACUGUGGAAUCAAGGAAGAGUUAUACUGUAACAACUCUUUUGAUUCUUAGUGAAAUCCAGUCAGUGGGCUGUCAAUGCAGAAGAGUGGCCAUAGGCUUGGAUUAAGCCGAACUACUAUAAACCUUGUGUUCUUAUUCUCUUCCCUAAGCUUUUUUACUUUGAUUGUAACUCUAUCUAAUUAUUAGAGUCUAAUUUCCUUUUCAUAAUCUAUUACUAAACAGAGUUGGUUUAAAAGCAAAAUUUUAUACUUUACUCUGCAAAAUUUAUUUUCACACCUAUUCAUCCCCUCUAGAUGCUCGUACUAGCUUUCACAAAAAUGCUUAGAAUAUGUUCCCAACAGAAUAAAAAAAAAAUCAUUUAUGAUCAGAAUCUACUUCCGGGAACAGAAUCGUCACCAAACGCACCCUUAUAUGGAUACUAGUGGGAAAAGGAACAAAGAAUAAUGCAUGAUGAUAUCAAUGCCUUUUUAUAUAUUAUUAUCAUUUGUGUUGUAACAUAUUGCAUGGUAAAUAUAUAAUAGAGAUAAUAGAGAAAUUGAGUAGAGAAAGCUAGACACCAAAAAUCGUAGAAAAAAUAAAAGGAGAAAAUUUUAUUUUCACUAUAUCACCCUGUAACAAAAACUAAGCUCUUAUUUAUAAUAAAACAAGGAUGCACUUAUCAUUAAUGUCAAUAUAUUGAAUAAUACAUAUAUUGGAUAAGGAGAUGAAUAUUCAUUGUAUAGGGAGAUGUACUUAGAAUAUAUAAUACAGAUGCAUCAUAAUAAAUACAUUAAAUAAGAUAAAUAUAAUGAAUAUUUAUUCAUUUAUGUAUUUUAUAACAAUUUGAAGUAACAUAAAAAUAUUAAUCUAAAAGAAGAUAAAAUAUAUUUGUUGACGUGAGAUUUUGUAUGUUUGCAACUUUCAAAAGUUUAGAUUAUUAAAUGAAAGUGUGAUUUAAUAGUUAAAUAUUCUAGCAAUUGAAAACAUAUUUGAACGGAUUUAAAGUUGAAAUGCUCCUAGAAUUAACAACACCAAAUUCCUCCUUAUCAUUAUUUUCUUUUCCCUCUAAUCACCUCUACCAAAUAUAUUGUCAGUAAAUGAACCAUCGGUAUUUAUGCAGUGUCAGGAUAGAUACGUUCUUAUUUUGAUCACCAAUCCAAAUUUCAAUUCAUGUCUUACGUGGUCAUUGUAAUUAAUGUGAAAGGCAUAUUGGAGUUAAAAAUAUGCACAGAAAAUCAAUCCACAUUCAUCAAGACACAAUAGAACCUGAUUUUAGAGUAAUGGUAAACGCGGUAGCAUACUUACGGCGGCAAACUAUCAUCUCGGGCACAGGUCCAAUUUUAUUGUUAAUUACUGUUGUGGUUUUGAAUUCAAAGAUGGCAGUUCUCUUGUCCACAUUGCAUACAUUUAUUUUGACGUGCGGACCCUUGGAGUGCCAUAACUUUGCACAAAGGGGUAACUUUGCACAAAGGGUCACUUAAGUGCCAUAAUUUACGAAAUAUACACUUAAGUGCCAAAAUCGAAGUAAAAAGGAUCACUUGAGUGCCAAUUCGGUCAAAACACCGACGUGGCAUUUUUCCGGCGAACCGAGCCCAAAACGACGCUAUUUUGCACGUUAACGUGGUCAAAUAAUACAAAACGGCGUCGUUUUGGGCUGAUGUGAUAAAAAAAUUAAUUAAAUUAAAUUAAAUUUAAAUUAAAUUAAAANNNNNNNNNNNNNNNNNNNNNNNNNNNNNNNNNNNNNNNNNNNNNNNNNNNNNNNNNNNNNNNNNNNNNNNNNNNNNNNNNNNNNNNNNNNNNNNNNNNNGUUAUUGGGUCUUAUAUUUUUCCCACUUAUUCAGAGGAUUUGUGUCAGAGCCUAAGAGUUUUCUAUCUUCCACAGAAGAAGCCUUGACCUCUAAGUUUAUGUCCGGUUACAGACAGGGCAACUGCUAAAAUGGCACAUGGCUCAGUCAAAGCGCUUGAAGCACGACCCUUGCUAAGUUAAGACUAAGGACAUGAGCCCCUCGCCACUAGCCACAAAAUAUAGGGAGGGUUGCGGCCCUCGCCCAGCCGGGCGAGGGCCAUCGACCCUUGCCAAAUUUGGGCAAGGGCCAUGAGCCCUCGCCACUAGCCACAAAUCUAGGGAGGGUUGUGGCCCUCGCCCAGAUCCAGCAAGGGUUAGCGACCCUCGCCCAGCGGGCGGCGGCCCUUGGCCCAAUUGGGCGAGGGUCGCCAACCCUCGCCAGAUCUGGGUGAGGGUCAGAUCGGGGCGAGGGCUCACAAGCCCUUGCCCAGAUCCAGCAAGGGUUAGCGGCCCUCGCCCAGCGGGCGGCGGCCCUUGGCCCAGUUGGGCGAGGGUCGCCAACCCUCGCUAGAUCUGGGUGAGGGUCAGAUCGGGGCGAGGGCUCACAAGCCCUCGCCACUAGUUGGUCGGGGUCACCGGCCCCUAGCCAGGGCCCAGCGACCCCGGCCGACCCUCCCCUCGCCGUCACCAGCCCUUCCCGGCAACGACGGGGCGGCAGCCCUCAGCCGCCUCCUCCCCUUUCUUUUUUUUUUUUAAAUUUUUUUUAAUUUUAAAAUUAUUAUUUUUUAAUAUUUUAACUAAAUUUAAUUUUAAAAUUAUUAAUUUAAAUAUUUUAACUAAAUUUAAUUUAAUUUUUUAUUUUUUUACCACAUCAGCCCAAAACGACGCCGUUUUUGUAUUAUUUGGUCACGUUAGCAUGCAAAACGGUGUCGUUUUAGGUGCGCUUUGCCGGAAAAAUACCACGUUGCUCUGAUACCAUGAAUGGACCUAGACUUAGAACCAGGGAAGGAGAGUAAAUUUCCUACAGGUAUGCAUCCCACAGUGGGCGAACAUCCUCGUUCAAGCCCUUCAGGGACAGCCUUUUAGCAGAAAACCACUCAGCCCUUUAAUUCAGAGCCUAGAGACACUCAGAGAUGCCAGGAUGGAAACGUUUCUAACCUACCCAAGCUGCAUUUCUUGAAGGAUCCUUCCAGGCUGGAGAAGAAAGGGAGAUUUAGAAAGCCAUAGAGAGAUUUCCACAAAGCACACACUUUACUUCAAGGGACUCUGCCCAAAACAAUACACCCUCGAAGCCUUAUAUAGGUAAUAAGAGGUCACAAAAGACACAUAGGGACCAAGCUCACGGGUCCGGGUACAAACAGGGCACCGAAAGGGAAUUAUUCGCACAUUAUGAACAGUAACUAUACUGUGAACAGUACAUUCCCUAGCCUAGUGCUACAGUAAAAGUGAACAGUGAUCUGCUACAGUGAAAAUGUACGGACUCAACGGUCUCGUCCGUCACGAGCAUUGUAGCUACACACAGAGUCAUCCGAGCUGCCUUCUAGGAGAUGUGCCUCGUACUUCUGUUCAAGGGCUUCAAGGUCUUCUGGUGAGAGGAUUUGGUUCAAUCUUCGUGAUGAGGAUGCUUGUUCAUGAGCCCAAUGUGAUGCUUCUUCUUUAGCCCAAUUUGUAUUUUCAUCUUCUUGCAGGUCAGGAAUUCUUGGCUGAGGCCAAUUGGAUGGCUCUGCAUAGAAAGAUGUGUCCAUGCUUUGGAAUUGUUCGUAGGGAUCCUGGGACAGAGGUCCUCCAAAGCGUGCGUGGGGGUCCUGGGUGGACUAGACAAUGUCAUCUUCAUUUGUCAUUUCAGGCUCUUGGGACGAUGAGGCUUGUCUGUAUUGUCCGAGUGCUUCCUUAGCUUCUGGUGCUAGGUCAUAAUGAUCCCACGUAGUGGGUGCAUUAUUCCAUAUAUCUUCGGGAAUGGUCUUGUUUUCCUGGCACAGGAUUCUUUGGAGUUCUCGAUAUUCAUUUUCACAAAGUCGAACAGAUCUAGGAUAAGAUCUGUAAAUUCGAGCUUCUCGACUGUUCAAGUUAGGUUUAUAGGAUGUGGUUCCUAUUUCUAGUGGUGCAUCGAGAAUACUACCAUUAUUUCUGCAAAAAUUCCAAGGACGUCGAAAAAACAGGAUGGUGUGGUCUUCGGGGUUUGGCGUCGUCGAUCUUAGUUCUCUUUCUAAGUCUUGUUUCCAACAUGUAGGAGGAUAGAACCAAUUUAGGAAUUCUAAGAGAUUUCUAUCACAUUCCUUUUCAAUGUUUCUUCCGAGCAAGAAUAUCCUUGUGAGGUUAGCAAUGAAUCUUCUGGUUGGGAUUUCAAAAGCUAUUAGAUACUUAUUGGUUAAGUACCAUAAUAACGUUUUGAGUUGUUCAGGAAAAUCAUCUUCCUUCCAGAUAAGAGGAUGAAUGAACGGAUAAUUCAUAUUUAACCCAAAAGGAUAAAGAAUCGAACCUCCAUUGAAUCUGAAUAGGUCUGUGUGGCUUUGCCACAUGAGGUUCUCCAGGUUCUCAGAAAGGCUGUCAUUCUGGAUUUGCUGAAUAAUCUCCUGGGGAUAUUUCCAGCUCUGUGAAUCUUUGAUGUUCUCGAUUUUGUAUUUUACUCCAUGGUUGAGCAUAUGGAAAGCAGGCCUUUUGAUAUACAUGUUGAUCUCGGCUGGUGCCUUUGGCCUUGAUAAGAAGUCCGCAAGUACAUUCUUCUUUCUAGGAAUAUGCUUAGUUUCAAAGGAGUAUUUUGAGAACCAUUCAGUCCAUCUAAGCAGUUGUGAAUUUGGAAUCUGUUUUUGUUUAAACUUGGUCAUCUGAGGAAAAGAUGCCAUGUCUAAUUCCACCAAGAAGUGGUGGCCGAUGAGAUGAAACUCAAAUUUUUUGAUUCCAUUUUUGACUACUAGGAUUUCUUUGAAAGUGGAAUGGUAAUGCAUUUCAGCUUGGGAAAACUUUCCACUUUUAUGAGCACAGAGGAGUCUCUUACCAUCAAUUUCUUCAAAAAGAACAGCUGCCCAGUAUUCAUCACUGGCGUCAGUCUGGAGGAUUCGUUUGCCUGUUGAUGGUAUUUGUAAUGGUGGGAGAUUCUGCAUAAUCUCUUUGAGUUCAGCAACUGCUUUGGUCUGAGCUUUUCCCCAAGGUGGUGCAUUCUUCUUUAGCAUGGAUUGCAAAGGAAUCAGAAGCUUUGCUAUAUUUGGGACAAACACCCUGAGAUAGUUAAUUAUCCCAAGGAAUUGCUGGACUUGCUUUGUUGUGAAGUUAUCCUGAGGAAACUUCAGUAAUUCUUGGGCGAUAUGUGGCCCUGGGUAGUAUGUUCAUUUGUUAAGGUUCAUACCAAGAAAUUCAAUUUCUGUCUGGGCAAUAUUCAUCUUUCUUUGCGAAAGCAUAAUGCCAUGUUUUUUUACGAUUUCUGCAAACUGCUCAAGGAGUUGACAGUGUGACUGUUCAUCAGGACUGUAGAGCAGAAUGUCGUCAAUGUAUACAGCUGCACUUGAUAGAAUUGGUUGGAAGAUGCGGCACAUGGCCUUUUGGAAAAGGGAUGGUGCUACCUUUAAACCAAAAGGAAGAACUUUCCAUUGGAAGUGCUGAUUCGGAAUACAGAAUCCUGUCUUGGAUCUGUCUUCAGAUGGAUGCCCAAUUGCCAAAAUCCNNNNNNNNNNNNNNNNNNNNNNNNNNNNNNNNNNNNNNNNNNNNNNNNNNNNNNNNNNNNNNNNNNNNNNNNNNNNNNNNNNNNNNNNNNNNNNNNNNNNNNNNNNNNNNNNNNNNNNNNNNNNNNNNNNNNNNNNNNNNNNNNNNNNNNNNNNNNNNNNNNNNNNNNNNNNNNNNNNNNNNNNNNNNNNNNNNNNNNNNNNNNNNNNNNNNNNNNNNNNNNNNNNNNNNNNNNNNNNNNNNNNNNNNNNNNNNNNNNNNNNNNNNNNNNNNNNNNNNNNNNNNNNNNNNNNNNNNNNNNNNNNNNNNNNNNNNNNNNNNNNNNNNNNNNNNNNNNNNNNNNNNNNNNNNNNNNNNNNNNNNNNNNNNNNNNNNNNNNNNNNNNNNNNNNNNNNNNNNNNNNNNNNNNNNNNNNNNNNNNNNNNNNNNNNNNNNNNNNNNNNNNNNNNNNNNNNNNNNNNNNNNNNNNNNNNNNNNNNNNNNNNNNNNNNNNNNNNNNNNNNNNNNNNNNNNNNNNNNNNNNNNNNNNNNNNNNNNNNNNNNNNNNNNNNNNNNNNNNNNNNNNNNNNNNNNNNNNNNNNNNNNNNNNNNNNNNNNNNNNNNNNNNNNNNNNNNNNNNNNNNNNNNNNNNNNNNNNNNNNNNNNNNNNNNNNNNNNNNNNNNNNNNNNNNNNNNNNNNNNNNNNNNNNNNNNNNNNNNNNNNNNNNNNNNNNNNNNNNNNNNNNNNNNNNNNNNNNNNNNNNNNACAACUUGCUCCUGUGUCAAUAGAGCAAUGACGUUGAUAGGUUUGGCCAAACUUCGAGGUGAGGAUUUUAACAGGGAAAUGGGGACAGUGAGUAUGACUUGAAAAUAUGUCAGGAUUUGGCUUUGAAGGUGUGGGAGAUAUGUGAAAAAUAUCUUCAGAUUCUGAGUCAGACUCAGUGUCACUAGAAGUUUGGUAAAAAGGAAUGGCACAAAGAGUUUGUUCAGUUGGUUCAUCAUCAGCAGAGAAUAAGGAUUCAAUAUCAUCAUUUUCAAGUGAAAAACCUGUUUCAUUCUCUAUUAGAUGAAUCUGACCUUUUUUCGCCUAAGGACAAUUUUUGGCAAAAUGUCCUUUUUUGUUGCAAAUGUAGCAACGACUUGACUUCUUAUGGCUUGUGCGCUCCUUCCUUUUGCGUAGGUAUCUCAAUUUCUUCUUUUUCCGGAAAUGCUUGGAGCCAUGUUUGGAUUUCUUAAUUGAGUAUUUCUUGUAGUGCUUUUUUUUCCGGGAAUACUGGCCACAAGUACCAUCACAAUCUUGUUUGGAGCAUUUGAUUUUUAACUUCUGAGAGGAACAAGCUCCUUCAAGACGCCUGUCAUCUGUGAUGUAUGUUCGGACCAUCCGACGCUUUAAGCAUAAUUCUUCAAGACAUAGAUGGACUUCUUGCUGAAUUUCUCCCAGAGGAACGUCUUGUAUUCUUCUUUGCUUUCCAAAGAAAGAUCUUUCAACCAUCUGUGAUAGCUCUUUGGGGAUAGAAGUAAGGAAGACAUGCUUUAAAUUUGGAUCUGCUCCAAUUUGGUAAAAGAGCUUAAGCAUUAGUCGAUAAUGCUUAUCAAGAUGCUUUUUCUGAAGGGAGCAGCAUCUUCUUUCGAAAAAUUCCCUUCUUUUUAGCUCUUUGAGAUCUCCCGGGGUUCCCACAAAGACAUGAUAUAAAUAAGUAAGGGCAUGGCUGAAAUUGGGUGACAUUAGGAACGUGAUUUGGUCUUGUUCCGUGAGUGACUGCCACCAGAAUUUGAGGCUCCCUAUGAAUCUCGUAACAAAGUUGUAAAGGACAUCAUUCAUAUCAUGGUUGGUGAUGGAUUGUGUACUCAACCAAGUAUGAAACUCUUCAAGUCUUUCUGGCCAUUUUGGAUAAGGAAUAUCAUCAAUGGAGAAGAAUUGUUUUGAUGCCAUAGACACAUGUCUGGUGGAAUCGUUUCUAGUGGGAUUACUUCGAAGCCUCGUUCUGGANNNNNNNNNNNNNNNNNNNNNNNNNNNNNNNNNNNNNNNNNNNNNNNNNNNNNNNNNNNNNNNNNNNNNNNNNNNNNNNNNNNNNNNNNNNNNNNNNNNNNNNNNNNNNNNNNNNNNNNNNNNNNNNNNNNNNNNGAGUCUAAUGUAGUAGAAGGAGUUUGCUCAGCUAGCAUAAUUUGUUUUUCUGGGAUAGCAGGAUCAGGCUCAGGCUGUUGGGUAUUAGGAUUAGCUUCUUGCUUACCCAAAUCCUUCAAAAAGGAUUCUAGUGGAUUUGAUAACAUCAUCUGGUCUGGCUUCUCUCUUAUAACAAUUGAGCUUGAUUCUGUCUUUUGUUUCCCUUUUUCCUUCUGCAGGGCUUUGAGACGAUUUUGUAUUUCUGCCAUAUCUGGUUCUCUUCUGGAGGUAUCUUCCAGAAUAUUGGCAAAAACAGAUAUUUGCGGUGCUGGGGGUACGUACCCAGUUUGAAUAGGAGGUGCUAGUGGAUCAAAAGGUCUAAACCUUCCUUCUUCAAGAAUCUGAAUUUGCUUCUUGAGCUUCUCUAUUUCUGGUUUUGGACUUUCAAGGUAGUGGUACCCAAGAUGUUGUCCUGAUUCCAAGGCAUGAAGCCUUUUCUGGAACUCAGAAAGUAUCUUCUUGGUACUUUCAUCAUAUCUUCGGAGAUCUUGUUGCACAUUUCCAAUUUUGGAAUCAAUAGCCUUGAAGGCAUUGUUUUGUGCUAACAGAGUCUCUGAUUGCCAAUUUAGGACGGCUUCAGUGGCGGAGGUUUUUUUCUGUCUCCCAUGUUCAUCCACAUCAGUGGGAGUAGGAACUUUAGGAACAUGGCGGUAUCUGCCAUGAGGAUCAAUAAACUCUUCUGUAGCAGGGAACGAGAGUUUAGAACUUUCCUUGACAAGAGGAGGAAAGUCAGUAUCCUGGAACAUAGCAAUAGAAGAAGUAGAUGGUACUUCUUCUGGAACUUCGAGGGGGUAAGAGUGCUUCUUAGCCCACUUAAGGAUUGGCUUAUAGAAUGGAGAGAGAACUUGCUUUUUCUAGGGAGGAGCCGGUGGUGGUGUUUUUGGUGGAUCUGGUGAGGCCUGGGAUGUAGUACUAGGCUCUUGUGGUCGAGGUGGUGCAUAAGAAACCAUGAAUUGGUAUUUAUCAGAUUCACCAAGAGUAUCAACGGAGGAAUCUCCGUCCAAGUACCUUUGGAACAUUUUGUCUUUUGGCCUUUUCCGUCGAGGUGGGGGUCUUGCAAAAGGAUCUACCUCGUCAGGGGAAUUUGUACAAUAAGAGCAUUGACAAAAAGGGUCCCAAAAACAAUGACCAUAAUUGUCUUUAUAGUAAUGAACAGGAUGUCCAUUACCAUCAAAAUGUUUGACAUGCUUCUUUGGAUCUGGCUCGGAAAUAGAUUGAGGGACACAUGGUUCAAUCAUAAAGAGGGUUUGGAAGAUAGAAGGACUUUCUUCCUUUUCCUUGCCAAAUUUGAUGGAAACAGUUCCAUAUUUUUUCCUUACGAACUCUGAGUCCGUGGACUGGAAAGGCUUGUUGUGCUGGUGUAGCUUUUCGUAGUUGGUAAUCCAAGUCUCUGGAAGGAGCUUGGCCAACGUAUCCUUUGGGAUUUGUCUAGGAACAUGGAUACAGGAUGCCUGAUCAUUCUGCAUGGAGAUGAACAAGGCGUCUUCAUUACCAUUGUUGAAGUUGAGGUCAAGUGCAUGGGUUCUGCACUCGAUAUACCAUCUAGUAAUGUAGUGUCGCAGCUACAGAGUCAGCAAUUUGAGGGGCUCCAGUAAGUUGGACUUGGACUUUCAUAAAAGAAAGUAACUGAGGAUCCGAAAGAGCGAUGUUGAAGUUGGGAUAUAGCGUGACAAAUACUGUUCCUGCAUUCAAAGUAGUUUGAACAGUACCAAUGCAAGCAUGCUGGUAUUGUAAAAACCUGGUGUCUAACAAAGCUAUUCUUGCUACAACUGGCAAGCCUUUUCGACCGUGAAAAGUCAGAGCAAGACGAACAGCUCCAUAAUGGACAUGAGUGUAUCCCUGUUGAGCCCAUUGUCCGGGAAAUUCUGGAGGGAUCUGGAGAGUAACAAAAUAUUCCUUUUCAGUAGCAGGAAUAGGAUGCUGGUCGAAUUUGGAGGACUGAACGUACUCCUUUACUUGCUUUGGGGUUUGGUGAAUAAGUUGGCGGAUAGAGCGAAUAGGUGAAAAUGAUGAGGUUGGCUUUGCAAAAGCAGAAUAAGGGUUCAUGAGAGGGAGUUGGGUUUCAGAAAUCUUGGUUUCAUCACUAAGAGAGACUUCAUAAAGAUAGUCUAUCUUAGAAGCAUUAGAGAUACGAAACUCAGGAGGUGUUUGGCCGAAGUGGCACUCAAGUGAUCCGUAUUUCUUCGAAUGUGGCACUUAAGUGUACAUUUCGUAAGUUAUGGCACUUGAAGCCUUCUUUUGCCCAUUUGUUUUGUUGCACUUUGCCCAUUUGUUCUGUUACUGCAGGAUAACUUUAAUCUGGUGUGAAACAAUUCCCGUCUUCUUUAUCCGUGAUGGGAAACCAAACCCCAAAUCCCACGUCCAGGAGAACUGGAGGAUCCUAGACGUUCUCGCCCACCAUCCGGAGAGCUUGGGCAUGUUCACCCUCCUCUUUGAUGAUACUGGUAUUCCACAAGAUGAGAGGAACAUGACGGGCUCUGGAGUUAACACCUACGCUUUGAUCAACAAGGCCAGAAAAGCACAUUAUGUGAAGUUUCACUGGAAACAAACUUGCGGGGUCAAGAGCUUACUGGAGGAAGAGGCGAUUAGAGUCGGGGGAUCCAAUCACAGCCUUGCGACUCGGGAUCUUUAUGAUUCCAUUGCUGCUGGAAACUAUCUUGAAUGGAAACUUUUCGUUCAGAUCAUGGAUACUGAUUAUAAAGACAAAUUUGACUUUGACCCGCUUGAUGUGGCUAAGACCUGGCCCAAAGACAUAUUGCCCCCUAAUGCUAGUUGGCCGCUUGGUCUUGAAUAAGAACAUUGAUAACUUCUUUGCUGAGAAUUAACAGCUUGCAUUUUGCCCUUCAAUUGUGGUUCCUGGCGUCUACUACUCAGAUGAUAAGCUGCUCCAAGUUCGUAUUUUCUCAUAUUCUGAUGCUCAGACGGACCGUUUUGCACCAAAUUAUCUUCAACUCCCUUCUAAUGCUCCUAAAUGCGCUCAUCACUACAGUCACCACGAAGGUUUCAUGAAUUGCCAUGCAUAGGAUGAAGAGGUAAGAAUUUUCUUUGAAUCCUUCCUUAGCAAUACUCUGGCAGCAUCUGUUGUGGAUUUUUUGUUGAUGUAACCAAGUUAGACAUCACGCUCUCCUAUAAGUAUGAAGGCCUAGUGAUGCAUUCUGACAUGUCAAUUGUGGAUCCCAAAGUGGCGGUGCAAACCCUCCUUUUGUUAGAGGAUUACCUUCUUGAUUUUUCUACUGCCCUUUGUGCCUGAAACAUGCAUGUUUACAUAUGUAGGAAAUACCUUUCUGCUAUCACGUAAAAUGAUUAUCUGUUGAGCAAAUGUUUAAUUUCCCUUUUGCAGAUAAACUAUUUUCCUUCAAGGUAUGAUCCCGUUCGUCAUGCGGAGAGAUAUCCCAUUCCAACUGCUAUGCUGACUGGAAAGCGUGAAAAAGGUAUGUUUUGUAGGAUCUCUUUUACUUGGAUAGAGAUUGAUUGUCCUGAGGUGCUUUCAUGGUGAUAUCCAUGGGAUAUACUCAACUUGUCCUAGAUGAUCAAUUGAAUUGCAGUGAGUGGUAUGACUGAUGUAUGUGUGUUUGGAUCUUGUUAUCUUUUGUUUCUCCUGGCAGACCAACAUUGAGAAAGAGAACAACUUCAAGCAGCCUGGAGAGAGAUACCGAUCAAGGGCGCCUGACAGGUAUUCUUCAGUUGUGCAUCUCCUGAAAAUGGUUUGAUUGUCUCAUGUUUCUCAAUAAUCUGUCUCUAUCUUUCUUUUCUCAGGCAAGAGCAGUUCAUCUGCUGAUGGAUCGAUGCUUUGUCUGAACCACGUAUGACUCAUAAGAUCCACAGCAUCUGGAUUUCAUAUAGGUUGGAGGUGAGAUGACCGUUCACUUCUUGUCUAGUCCUGAUGAGGCGAUUUAAAGUGAAAAAUGUAAUAGUCAACAUGCAGAGGGAUUUGGUUGUUGCUUGCUUUACGCUAUAUAUAUCCACGCAGAUGUCAUAAUAAACUCAUUUGUGAUUACCUGUGACUGCAACAGGCGGACAAAACGGUGUCUGAGCUAGAAACUCUAUUUUUGUUGCGGUAUAUUGAACUUGCCUUAUAAUACAAACUCUCUGGCGACAUGAUAUUCCUGAUUUAAUAAAUGCCAAUUGCAUGUGCUGAUCCUACUCCAUUGUGUUUGGUUAUUGCUUUCUCCAUUUACAUAGAAUAUCGAGUGAGCAGAUUGUACUGCCGGUAAUAUCAUCAUGCAUUUGAUUACGGGUGGUAAAAUCAACCGCCUCACUGCUCUCAAGUGCAUUGGGGAAAGGAUGUCAUGAAAUGCACCUUCUGCUAUGUUGGACGAGAAGUUAGAAUUCAGAGUUAAUUUGCCUCCAUUCUUUUGGCAGUGCAUUGUGCUUGAAUGACACUACCAACUCCUCGUUCCUGCAAACAAGAGAGUAAAUCAGUUUUAUUACAUUUAGCAAUACAGGUGUUAGCUCGUAGAGGAUGGCAUGGUAGGACUAUCUUCGGAUCUCUGCUUCAUAAAUGGGCAAAUUAACUUUGAAGGCGACUGAGCAAUUAGCAUGAUUAUACUGUCCCUGAAGAGCCAACCCCACCUGCAAACUGUACGCACAAAUUUGACCGUGAAGAGCCAACCCACCUGCAAUGCGAUCCUUGACAAAGAUUUAACAAGAGACUAGCCUUUAGAGUUGCUUUCUACUCGCAAAAUUCUAAUGCCUGAGUUGCAUAGCCUACUAAAUAACAGAUUUCAGCUCCGUCUGGUCUCAAGAAAUAAGUUAAAUCUCCAUCUCAAUGAGUCCUUGACACUGCAGAUGGGGAGUAUCGACUUCCAGAUCCAUAAGGACCGUCAGCACUCUGAUUGUGGCGAAUUGGUGAUCAAUGGUGGUUGUGAUGAUGCUGGUAAGAAGAAGGCCAGCUUGAUGCAUCCUCCCUGGUCUCCUGGUUUUUCUCCCAAAUGGUGUUGAUGUUUUCUAAUGUCGCCAGCACUUCCUCCAUCGAGGGCCUCACUUUAGGAUCGGCCUCCAGGCAUUUGAGGAUGAGCUUAGCCGCCUGAGUUGCAGCUUUCAAAGGGUAUUGACCUUUUAGUCUCGGAUCCAUUAUCUUCCUUAGCUUCCUCUUGUCGUGGAGCAACGGCCUUGCCCGUUCCACCAGAUUCUGCUGGCCGCUGGGGCGGGAACGGUCGACCACUCGUGAACCCGUCAACAUUUCUAGGAGAACCACCCCGAAACCGUAUACGUCACUCUUCACAUAGAGAUGUCCUGUCAAAUUGAGCCUUUAUCAUUCUGAAACGCAUUUUCUGCGAUCACACGAAAUAUUUGCUAAAAAUAAAGAAGCAUAUGAGAGGGAGAUCUCUAUGAAGAGCGCUGCAGUAAGAUCAUUUCGCAAAACACAUGCCUAGUAAUCGCAUCAAUCUGCUAAAGAACGUAGUUGUCACCGACCCAACAAUGCCUACUAAGAAGAAAGAUAGGAUCUGUGUCUUACCGGUGGCAAUGUACUCAGGCGCGGCGUAUCCAUAUGUUCCCAUCACUCGCGUGGUCACAUGAGAGUUCCUGUCCGCUGGUCCCAGCUUUGCUAGCCCUAAAUCCGAUCGAUCAUUUCGCAGAACACCUGCCAAGUAAUCUCGUAAUCUUCUAAAGAGCGUUGUUGUCACCGAUCCAACAUUGCCCGAGGAGAAGAAAGAUAGGAUCUCUGUCUUACUGACGGCAGAGUACUCGGAAGCGGCAUAGCCAUCCAUCUCAAUCACUCGCGUGGUCACAUAAGAGUUCCCACUCGCUGGCCCCUGUUUCGCUAGCCCGAAAUCCGAGAGCUUGGCAUUACUGUCCUGGCGCCACAACGAGAGAAAGUGAACAAAGUUUCUCAAUUAAUCCCUGAGAAUGGUAGUUCUACAUCCGUGUAUCAUCUAAUAAUCAUAGACAUACAUCAAGUAAAUCCCAUUCACAUGGACGACGUGAUCUAAAGACUGCCACAUAAAUCUAAAGUAUUCAAUGCAUCAAAUGUACCAAGGCGACACCAACAGAAAUUGAGAUGAUUUAAUACGAAAUUUGAGCUUCAUAUCGUUCACCAGGUGACGUGGGCGACAUUUAUACGGGUAUUCUUAAAAAUAAAUUCUCAAUAGCCGGGAAAAGCAUGUGAAAAUAAUCAAGUAGAUAGAAAAAUUUACCGCAUCCAAUAAUAUAUUCGAAGGUUUGAAGUCCCUGUAGAUGACGUUAUUCUCGGGUGCAUGCAAGAAAUUAAGCCCACGGGCAGCUCCGAUUGCUAUUUUAAGCCUCACGUUCCACGGAAGUGGUUCAGCUUCCCCUGAAUUACCAUAAGUUUCUCCAGUGAGUAAUCUUCUUUUCUUUUUUCUCUACGCAUUUUUUUCCUUGAUGUCUGAUAUCUGAGUGAAAAAAGGAGAGUAAUUAACUUAUAUAUAUAUGCGAAUGAUCUUACUUCUGAAAAAGUGAUCAUCUAAGCUUCCCCUCUGCACGUACUCGUAUACGAGGAGGUACUGAUUGUCUUCCCAGCAAUAACCCAGUAAUUUCACGAUAUUUGGGUGAGAAAACUUCCCCAAUAACUUAACUUCCGACUGUAGAAAGAUAAAAUAACAUAAUUUCAAUACACAUAGAAUUUUGUCAAUAUUUGAUUUCGCGAUGUUUUGUACGAUUAGUGUGAGUUCAAUUAAUUAUGCGGAACAAUUUGUUCUUUUUACAAAUAAGAAAGGUACAUGUUUACAGGUGAAAAUAAUGGGUAAAUUUGCAAAUUAUGGUUUGUAAUGAGACCAAUUUCUUAAAAAAUGAUUCAUAAUGAAUCUUCUUUCAAAUAAAGUUAUGAAAUUCUCAAUUCAAUCUCAAAAAAGGCCCAAGCUUACUAGUUGGCCAAAUCUUUGCCAACCGGUGAGCCCAUGCAUCUUUUGUGCAAAGCACAUGCUCAUCGGUAUAAAAAAUUUGGCCGACCAAUGAGUUUGGAGCCUUAUUUCCCAAAAAUCAUAUUACACUGUGCAUGACAUGGUGGAGUUUGUUUGAAAGGACAGGGUAAAUAAGCAGGAGGGUGGGUCAAUAGGCAACAAAGCACAAGUAAUUAGUCAAUUAACCCUUACUUUAGCCAAUAUGUGCUGGAGUCAACACCUAAUAUGAAAAUAGCAUCGACCCUUUAUCAAGCACAGGUUGUCAACUUUGGUGAAGGAAUGAGAGGGGAAAGCCGACCUGUCUCCUUCUCACUGGGUCGGAGAUUUUCCCUCUUUCACAAGUCGAAGGCGGCAACUAGGGCGGUGACUUUUAUAUAUAAAGACAUGAGGAGCCCUUUCGUGGAAUAGGAAGGCUGGAGCAAAGAAGAAGAGAGCUAACCUCCUGGGAGAGAGCAAAGGGGUGAGCCUCCGAAUAAUGCAAUAGAAUAGCUGAUUGUGUGCUUGUAUCAGCUAUAGCUUGCUUUUGAGUGUUUUAAGUGUGCUGAGAGAAGGUACAUUGUAAUAGUUAUGUGAGACUAUUUUGAACGUUAUACUUAUACCACAGUUUGGUAUAACAAGUGAGUCUUUAGUUGUUUAUAGUAAUUCUCUCGUGUUAUCACCACAACGCUUCCGCAUAUCCUAUAAUUAGUAUCAAAGCAAGGGUCGCAUAUCCUAUGAUAUGAACUCUUUUAGAGUCUGGUAGCCAGAUUUCCAGCACCCAGGAAGUUGAAAUAAUUUAUAUUUAAAAUAUUCUUUGGUCAAGAAUUGGACCCAAAGAAAAGAAAUUUAUAAUUAUUAUAAAUAAAAAAAAAGAAGGAAAUCCCUCAUUUCGAUAUGACCUUUGUAAUUGGGAAAAAAAUCUCAGUAUGCCCUCUCACUGAGGGGGGAGUCAACUCUGGCAUAGUUGUCGUCUAUGCUUCUUCUUAUCAUCGAUUAGCAUGUGCUUGCGGGAGAGGAUGGAAUUUGUGUAUGAUGUUAAAUACGCACCUCCCAUUCGUUCAUGCCCUGAAAGCUGUCGGGGUUGGACUUCUUGACGGCGACCGGGAUCCCGCUGCCGACCUUGGACGGGGCGAGGGUCCUCUCGUCCACCCAACCCAUGAACACCUCCCCGAACCCGCCCUCCCCGAGCUUCAUGUCCCCCCUGAAGUUCCUGGUCGCGCUCUUCAGCUGCGCCAGUGUGUACAUCUUCAGGCAGGGCGUUAUCACCUCCCCGGCUUUCACUGCAGCUAGAGCUUCGUCCAUGCCACCACCACUCGCCGUCGCCAACUUCCCAAUCUCACUUCUCACCAAUGCAUCUCGCUUUACCUUGGGCUUCUUCGCAAGAGCUUCUACAACAGCCACAAAAAAAAAACGUGACACGUGAACUCAGCUUAUAUUCAUCGGAAACGGAAAGUAAUGAUAAUUGCUAUUAGAUAAAUAUGUAGUUUAUUAGUUAAGUAUUUUAACAUUAUUCCUCACAAGUAUUUUUUUUUUUCAUUCAUUUCCAUAAAAAAUAGAGAGAGAAGUAACGGAGUCCAAGUGAAAGCCAAGACUAAUCCCAAGUAGUUUCAAAGCAUAAAUUCCCAAUAAUAAGAUAAAUUAUCAUAAUAAAGUUUGGGGGUACAAGUUCAAAGAGCAUAUAUGUGAUUUCUUCAAAUCAAAAUUGACAGUUGAUCACUAAAUCUGUUUCUAGUAAUGAACACACAUUGAUAACUCUAUCUAUUGCUACCGUUUUGCCUUGUAACAUGUGCGUUUAGAUUCAGGUUCCCAACACAAUGGUCGUUUGAAUCAUGAGAGCAAAAUUUUCAUGAUACUCUUCUGCGAAACUCAGGAACAUACACGCAAAAAUCUCAAUAGUUGGACUGAAAAGAUUUGAACACUUGAGUUCCUACUUUGAUAAUGUAAGAUAUUAUGAUAUUAUUGUCAAUUGUUUAAAACAGAACGGCCGGCCUACGUGAUGAUCAACUGAAACCGAUCCUUUUCCCCGGCAAUUCCUCAUGGUCAACGACGACGACGAUUAAGAAAACGCGUCCAGAAACUCUCUCUCUCUCUCUCUCUCUCUCUCUCGUAUCUCUUUUGACAUAAAGCGGCUCUCCCUUUCCUAAUUUGGUGGCUGAAUGGUAGCUGGAGGGGGAUGUGAGGUUCGAGGAAAAGGAGAAGCAGCUGCAGAGAAGCCAAAGAAAAGAGAAACAAAAUCUGCUCGGUGCCAGGCCAGCAACCACAAGGCCUUGACUUUUCUGCUUCCAUCUCCAUCAAAUUACCAAAAAACUUAUAAACAUAUUACACUAUUAAUUCCAAAUUUUUCAAUUAAACUCCAUCUGAUUAAUUUUAAUCGGAAAUCACUAACAUGUGAUAGACGAUGAUGCGGAUAAUUUUUUACUUUUCAUUACUUAAUUUGUUUUUUUCCUUUUUAUUACUUGAUUUGGCAAUGAAUUAUGAGAGAUCUUUAUAUUCAUUUAUACCAAUUUGUCGUAAAUACUAAAUAAUGAACAUAAUAUGAUAUGAAAUUAUUCGAUUUUAUUACUAUAAUAGGAUGUAACAAAGUCUCUAAAUUAUAUAUCAUAUCCUAUCAGGGUGGAAGGACUUUGAUUGGCGCUUGAAACGUAUGAAUUUCGUCUUCUAUUAUACCAAUCACAAAAAUUGAAUAUGCACGGAAGAAAGAAGGCCCUUACUUCGAGACGCUGGCGGUCCUGUCAUAGCUUUGCUUCCAAGUUGGUCAGAAUUUAGGCCCAAUUUCCACUUCCGCUUUUCUGCCUGCCGAAUAGGCAUUUCCCAUCUUGAUCAACCAAGAAAUAAGAUGCUGACAGGGAGAUCAAGCCUACUUUUGCGACUAGAACAAAUGAUUGGCUGAAUCCAGAAAGCAUGUAUGCAAUCCCCACAUGAUCUCGAACCACAUCGUCCCCAAUAGAAAUAUCAUUGUUUCCAUCGAUUCUUUACUAGAAAAGACCAAUGCUCACAAAAAAGAACUACUCACCUUCUCUCCCAUCCCUCCACUCCUGGUGUCUGAAUCGGUUCUGGCCUGAGAGAAAGGCGCGGAGAGCACCGUUCUUGGGAAAAAUGGACAAGAACCUGUCUGGAUCCCAAUAGAAAUAUCAUUAAUUCCAUCGGGGUCCACCUCAGUCAGCUCGUGCUCACAAAAAUGUACUCACAUUCGCUACACUCUCGGUGUCUGAAUCAGUGCUGGACGAAGAGUAAGGCCAGUUGAACACCAUUCUUGGGAAGGAUCGGCAAAAAUCUAUCUAGAUCGAUUCUGAAACUGAGAUCCACAGCAACGAAGCCAUAGCAGAUAUAUGCGUGUUUCUAGAUACGCAUUUAGAUUCUGAUGCAUCAAAAGGGACGGAAACUUCCUGGUUGAAAUAGACAAUUAAAAGGAAAAAGAAAAGAAGUGUGCUUUUUCGAAGAAACUGCGGAAGCGGACAAAUAGUAAGUCAACCUGGCUGGUUCUAGCAAAGUCGAGCCUCCCCAUGGCCAGUGAGGUCACCUCACCUCUGGCCCGUCGCCAGCGAUAAUUCCGAGUCAAGGCAUAUUGGAGUUUUCUGGCUUUUCAUCCUUAUACAUCAUUCUACUGUUGGUGUGUAGCCAUUAGCAUGUGCAUAGGAAGAAAUUACUCGGUGAACUACUCUGAGUCAAGGCAUAUUGGAGUUAAAAAUAUGCAGAGAGACGCAAUAGAACCUAAUUUUAGAGUAAUGCUAAAUGUGGAAUAUGCUUAUGGCAAACUAUCAUCUACGUCACAGGUCCAAUUCUUCUUGACGAAUAUCACCUUGUGGAGAAACUUGCCAACUUUGAUAGGGAGAGGAUUCCAUAGAGUGCUGUCCAUGCCAGGGGAGCCUGUGCAAAGGGAUUCUUUGAGGUCACUCAUGACAUUUCUCACCUUACCCGUGCUGAUUUCCUUCAGGCACCAGGAGUUCAAACACCUGUGACUGUCCGUUUCUCCAUCCUCAUCCACGUAAGGAGCGGCCCUGAAAGCCUGAGGGACCCCCGGGGUUCUCAUGUGAACUUCUACACGAGUGGUGAGGGUCGUUCUGGUAGUAGACAUGAAUGGGCAGCAUGGACGGGCACGAGUAUGAUGCUCCCUGUGAUGAAUCCUUUCACAGGUGGCCUAAACUCGACCGAUGCAUAUGGCAGUUCUCUUGUCCACAUUGCAUAUAUUUGUUUUGUUGUACUUUGCUAUGUGAUCUUACCUUUUCUGUUACUGCAGGGUAACUUUGAUCUGGUAGGAGACAAUUUCCCUAUCUUCUUUAUCUGCGAUGGGAUGAAAUUCCCGGAUAUGGUUCGUGCACUUAGACCAAACCCCAAAUCCCGCGUCCAGGAGAACUGGAGGAUCCUUGACUUUUUCUUCCACCAUCCCAAGAGCUUGCGCUCGUUCACCUUCCUCUUUGAUGAUAUUGGUAGUGCACAAGAUUACAGGCACAUGCAGGGCUCUGGAGUUCACACCUACACUUUGAUCAACAAGGCCAGAAAAGCGCAUCAUGUGAAGUUUCACCGGAAACCAACUUGCGGGUCAAGAGCUUGCUGGAGGAAGAGGCAAUUAGAGUCGGGGAAUCCAAUCACAGCCAUGCAACUUUGGAUUUUAUGAUUCCAUUGCUGCUGGAAACUAUCCUGAAUGGAAACUUUUCGUUCAGAUCCUCGAUCCUGAUCAUGAAAACAAAUUCGACUUUGGCCCACUUGAUGGGGCUAAGACCUGGCCCGAGGACAUGUUGCCCCUAAUGCCAGUUGGCCGCUUGGUCUUGAAUAGGAACAUUGAUAACUUCUUUGCUGAGAACGAACAGCUUGCAUUUUUGCCCUUCAAUUGUAGUUCCAGGCGUCUACGAUUCUGAUGAUAAGCUACUCCAAACUCGUCAUCUCAUAUUCUGAUACUCGGAGGCACCGUCUUGGACCAAAAUAUCAUCAACUCCCACCCCCCCCCCCCCCCCCUCCUUUUCCCCCCCAAUACUCGUAAAUGCGCUCACCACAACAGUCACCCUGAAGGUUUCGCGAAUUUCAUGCAUAGGGAUGAAGAGGUAAGAAUCGUCUUAGAAUACUUCAGCAGCGAUGCUCUGGGCAGCAUCUCUUGUGGAUUUUGUUUUGAUGGAACUAGACAUCGUGCUUUCCUAUAAGCAUUGUAGGCGUUGUGAUGCAAUCUGACAUGUCAAUUGCGGAUCCUAAAGUGGCAGUGCGAAUGUCCUCCCUCUUUUUGAGGAAGAUUACUUUCUUGAUUUUGCAAAUGCACUAUGUACCUGAAACAUACAUACAUGUUUACAUAUGUAGGAAAUGCCUGUCUGCUAUUAUGUAAAAUGAUUAUCUGUUGAACAAAUGCUUAAUUUCCCUGUUGCAGAUAAACUAUUUUCCAUCAAGGUAUGAUCCCGUUCGUCAUGGAGAGAGGUAUCCCAUUCCACCUGCUAUGCUGACUGGAAAGCAUGAAAAGGUGUGUUUUUAGUUAGGAUCUCUUUUACGUAAACAGAGAUCGAUUGUCUUGAGGUGCUUUCAUGGCGAUGUCCAUGGGAUAGACUCAGCUUGUCCUAGAUGAUCAAUUGAAUUGCAGUGAGUAGUGUGACUGAUGUAUCUGUUUGGAUUUUGUUUACUUUUGUUGCUCCAAACAGACCAUCAUUGAGAAAGAGAACAACUUCAAGCAGCUUGGAGAGAGAUGCCGAUCAUACAGAUAUUCUUCAGUUGCGCAUUUCCUGAAAAUAGUUUGAUGGUCUCAUGUUUCUCAAUCGUCUCUCUCUGUUUUCUUUUUUCAGGUAAGAGUGGUUCAUCUGCCGAUAGAUCAAUGCUUUAUCUAACCCACGUGUGACUCAUGAGAUCCGGAACCUCUGGAUUUCCUGAUUUUUCAGGUAAACUCUGUUCCAAUGCUUAUUUUUGUUGCGGUAUAUUGAACUUGCCUUGCAAUACAAACUCUACGGCAACAUGAUAUUCCUGAUUUAGUAAAUGUGAAUUGCAUGUGCUGAUCUUACUCCUUUGUGUUUGUUUACCGCUUUCUCCUCGAGUCUCAUUCAGAUGGAAUAUCAAGUGAGCAGAUUGUACUGCCGGUAAUAUCAUCAUGCAUUUGAUUACGGGUUGUAAAAUCAACCGCCUCACUGCUCUCAAGAGCACCAGUGGAAGUUUGUUGGGUAAUGCACCUUCCGCUAUGUCAGACGAGAAGUUAGCAUUAAGAGUUAAUUUACCUACUUUCUUUUGACAGUGCAUUGUGCUUGACACUACCGACUUAUCGUUUCUGCAAACAAGAGAGUAAAUCGAGUUUUUUUACAUUUAGCAGUAAAGGCGUUAGCUCGUAGAGGAUGGUGCGCUGGGACUAUCUUCUGAUCUCUCCUUCAUAAACGGGCAAAUUAACUUCGAAGGCGAUUGAGCAUGAUAAUAUUGUCCCUGAACUUGUAAGACCAGAAGAUCUUCCAUAAGUCAAUCUCGGAAAUAAUUCGAAUGCGUAUUCAGAGAAACGUUUGAUCGUGUUUGGAACCCCAGUCUAGACAACUGUACACACAAAUUUGGCCGUGAAGAGCCUACCCCACCUGCAAAUAUUUAGUAAGAGACUAGCCUUUAGAGUUGCUUUCUACUUGCAAAAUUCUAAUGUCUGAGUUGCAUAUCCUACUAAAUAGCAGAUUUCAGCUCCGUCGAGUCUCAAGAAAUAAGUUAAAUCUCCAUCUCAAUAAGUCCUCGACACCGUGGAUGGGGAGUAUCAACUUCCAAAUCCACGAGGAGCGUCGGCAUUGUGAUUGUGGUUAAUUGGCAAUCGGUGGUGGUGAUUGUGGUGAUGUUGGUGAGAGGAUGGCCGGCUCGAUGUGCUCGCCUUGGUCUCCUUUCUUUUUCACCCGAAUGGUGUUGAUUUGUUCUAAUGUCUUCAGUACUUCAUCCGUCGAGGGCCUCACGUUAGGAUCGCCCUCCAGGCAUUUGAGGAUGAGCUCAGCUGCCUGAGUUGCAGCUUUCAGAGGGUAUCGUCUUUCUAGUCUCGAAUCCAUUAUCUUCCUCAGCUUCCUCUUGUCGCGGAGCGACGGCCUCGCCCAUUCCACCAGAUUCUGCUGGCCGCUGGGGCGGGUAUUGUCAAGCGCUUGUAAACCCGUCAACAUUUCUAGGAGAACCACCCCGAAACCGUAUAAAUCGCUCUUCACAUACAGAUGCCCUGUCAAAUUAAGCCUCUAUCAUUCUGACACGCAUUUUUUAUGAUCACAUGAAAUCUUCGCUAAAGAUAAAGAAGCAUAUGAGAGGGAGAUCUUGAUGAAGAGCGCUGCAAUAAGAUCAUUUCGCAAAACACAUCACAAGUAAUCUCGUCAAUCUUCUAAAGAACGUAGUUGUCACCGACCCAACAUCACCCAUUGAGAAGAAAGAUAGGAUCUCUAUCUUACCGGUGGCGAUGUACUCGGGCGCGGCGUAUCCAUAUGUUCCGAUCACUCGUGUGGUCACAUGAGAGUUCCCACCCGCCAGUCCCAGCUUUGCUAGCCCGAUAUCUGAGCGAUUUUGAUGAACAGACACUACAAUAAGAUCAUUUCGCAAAACACUGCCAAGUAAUCUCGUAAUCUUCUAAAGAGCGUGUAGUUGUCACUGAUCCAACAUUGCCCGCAGAGAAGAAAGAUAGGAUCUCCGUCUUACCGGUGGCAAAGUACUCGGGAGUGGCGUCGUCAUCCGUCUCAAUCACUUGCGUGGUCACGUAAGAGUUCCCGCCCGCUGGCCCCCGUUUUGCUAGCCCGAAAUCCGAGAGCUUGGCAUUGAAGUCCUGGUGCCACAACGAGAGAAAGUGAACAAAGUUUCUCAAUUAAUCCCCGAGAAUGGUAGUUCUACAUCCAUGUAUCAUCUAAUAAUCAUAGGCAUACAUCAAGUAAAUCCCAUUCACACGGACGACGUGAUCUAAAGACUCUUCCACAUAAAUAGAAAGUAUCCGGUGCAUCAAAUGUACCAAGGCGACACCAACCAAAAUUGAGAUGGUUUAAAGUGAAAUUUGAGCUUUGUAUAGUUUACUAGGCAACUUGGGCAAAAUUUAUAUGGUAUCCUUAAAAAAAAUUCUCGAUAGCUGAAAAAAGCAAAUGAAAAUAAUCAAGUAGAUAGAAAAAUUUACCACAUCCAAUAAUAUAUUGGAAGAUUUAAAAUCCCGGUAGAUGACGUUAAUCUCGGGUUUAUGCAAGAAUUCAAGCCCACGGGCAGCUCCGAUUGCUAUUUUAAGCCUCACGUUCCACGGAAGUGGUUCAGCUCCCCCUGAAUUACCAUAAGUUUCUCCAGUGAGUAAUCUUCUUUUCUUUUUUCUCUACGCAUUUUUUUCCUUGAUGUCUGAUAUCCGAGUGAAAAAAGGAGAGUAAUUAACCUAGUAAAAAAAAUGUAUAUAUAUAUAUAUAUAUAUGCGAAUGAUCUUACUUCUGAAAAGGUGAUUCUCUAGGCUUCCCUUCUGCACAUACUCGUAUACAAGGAGGUAGUGAUUGCCUUCCCAGCAAAACCCCAGUAAUCUCACGAAAUUCGGGUGAGAAAACUUCCCCAAGAACUUAACUUCCGCCUGUAGAAAGAUAAAAUAACAUAAAAUAAUUGUUAUUCAAUGCACAUAGAAUUUUGUCAAUAUUUAAUUUCGUGAUCUUUUGCACGAUUAGUGUGAGUUCGAUUAAUCGUGUGUAACAAUUUGUUCUUUUUACAAAUAAGAAAGGUACGUGUUUACAAGCGAAAAUAAUGGGAAAAUUUUCAGAUUAUGGUUUGUAAUGAGGCCAAUUUCUCAAAAAAUGAUUCAUAAUGAAUCUUCUUUCAAAUAAGGUUAUGAAAUUCUCAAUUCAAUCUCAAAAAAGGCCCAAGCUUACCAGUUGGCCGAAUCUCUACCAAAGAAAUGUUAUAUUCGUGUUACCAUCACAAUGCUUCAGCAUACCUUAUAAUUAGUAUCAGAGCAAGGGUUGCAUAUCCUACAAUAUGAACUCUUUUUGAGUCUGGUAGCCGAAUUUCCAGCGCCCAUGGAAGUUGAAACAAUUUAUAUUCAAAAUAUUCUUUGGUCAAGAAUUGGACCCAAAGAAAAGAAAUUUUAAUUAUUAAAAAAGAGAUCCCUCAUUUCGAUAUGACCUUUUUAAUUCGGAAAAAAAAAAUCUCAAUAUGCUCUCUCACUGAGGGGGGAGUCAACUCCGGCAUAUUGUCCAGGUCGUCUUUGCUUCUUCCCAUCGUUGAUUAGCAUGUGCUUGAGGGAGAGGAUAAAUUUUUUGUAUGAAUGUUAAGUACGCACCUGCCAUUCGCGCAAGCCCUGAUCGCUGUCGGGAUUGGACUUCUUGACGGCCACCGGGAUGCCGUUGCCGACCUUGGACGGGGCGAGCGUCCUCUCGUCCACCCAGCCCUUGAACACCCUUCCGAACCCGCCCUCCCCGAGCAUCGUGUCCGCCCUGAAGUUCUGGGUCGCCCUCUUCAGCUCCGCCAGCGUGUACAUUCUCAGGUUGGGCGUUAUCACCUCCCCGGAUUUUUCCGUGGCCGGAGGUUCCUCCGCUCCGCCGCCGCCACUCACCGCCGACAACCUCCCAAUCUCGCUCCCCACCAAUGCAUCUCGCUUUACCUUGGGGUUCUUCACAAGAGCUUCUAAAAAAAAAAAAGGGAAAUGAAAAACGUGGCAUGUGAACUAGCUUAUAUCCAUCGGAAAGUAACAAUAAUAGCUAUUAGAUAAAAAUGUAGUUUAUGAUUUAAGUAUUUUUAGCACUCUUCCCCUACAUUUUUUUCUUUCAAUUCAUUUCCAUAGAGAGAGAGAGAGAACGCAGUCUAACUGCAACUCAAAACUAAUCGCAAGCAAUUUCAAAGCAUAAAUUCUCAAUAACAAGAUAAAUUAUCAUAAUAAAGUUCGGGGUACCACGUUCAAAGAGUAGAUAUAGAUAUGUGAUUCCUCAAAUCAAAAUCGACGAUCAAUCACCAAAUUCAUUCCAGCAAUGAGCACACACUGAUAAUUCUAUCUAUUGCUACCGUUUUGCCUUUCAACAGUGUGCCUCUAGGUUCAGGUUCCCCACCCUGAUAGUCAUUCAGUUUAUGAGAGGAAAAUCCUCAUGAAACUCUUCUGCGAAGCCCGAAAACAUACGUGCAAAAAAUCUGGACUGAAAAGAUUUGAAACUCGUAAGUUCCUAUUUUGGUAUUAUGUAAGAUUUUAUGAUAUUACUGUGAAUUGUUCUAAACAAAACAACAGGCCUAUGUGGUGAUUCACCGAAGCCGAUCCUUUCCCCCGGCAAUCCCCCACGGUCAACAACAACGAUGAUUAAGAAAACGCGUCUAGAAACUCUCUCUCUCUCCGUGUGUCUCUUUUGACAUAAAGCGGCUCUCCCUUUCGUCUUUCGGUGGGUGAAUGGUAGCUGGAGGGGGUUGUGAGGUUCGAGGAAAAAGAGAAGCAACUGCAGAGAAGCUAAAGAAAAGAGAACCAAAAUCUGCUCGGUGCCAGCAACCACAAGGUCUUUACUUUUAUGCUUCCAUCUCCGUCAAAGUACCAAAAAAAUUAUAAACAUAUUACAUUAUCUGUUAUACUUUGUUAAUAUGUCCACAAUGAGACGCGAUUAACAUACACCAGUUCAUCCUGAUAUGUUAUGANNNNNNNNNNNNNNNNNNNNNNNNNNNNNNNNNNNNNNNNNNNNNNNNNNNNNNNNNNNNNNNNNNNNNNNNNNNNNNNNNNNNNNNNNNNNNNNNNNNNAACUCUCAAGUAUGGGAGCCGGAAUUCCGGCGCCCACCGAAGUGGAAACAAUUUAUAAUUAAAAUAUUCUUUGGUCAAGAAUCGGACCCGAAAAAAGAACUUAAUAAUUAUUAAAAGGAAAUCCCUCAUUUCGAUAUGACCUCUUUAAUCCGGAAAAGAAAAUCUUUAGUGUGCUCUCUCCUCUCUUACCGAGGGGAGUCAACUGUUGCAAAUUGUCCAGGUCGCCAUUGGCUUCUUCUCAUCGCUGAUUAGUAUGUGCUUUAUUUUCAUAUUCGAGUGAGGAGUAUUGUCACGUAUAGAUCGAGCGGGAGAGAAUGGAAUUUUUGUAUGAAUGUGAAGACAGUUAUACUAAACCAUGCCUACAUGUAAUUAAGCAUUACUGAUUUAUGGUUUUCAAGAUGAUCGGAAUACCGCCGGGUCGAGAAAAAUUUGUCCGCCUGUGGCUUCUGUUACUAUUGAUUUGCCCAAUGUUCUCAUUUCCACUCGGGAAUCUCGAGAGGUUGCAAAAGUCCUUCAGACUUGCAGUACUGUGCCUUCACUUGCAAACCCGCCAUUCGCGCAUGCGCCUUGAUGGCUGUCUGGAUUGGACUUCUUGACAGCCACCGGGAUCCCACUGCUGUACUCGGACGGGGCAAGGGUCCUCUCGUCCACGAAGCCCUUGAAAACCCUUCCAAACCCGCCCUCCCCAAGCAACGAGUCCGGCCUGAAGUUCUGGGUCGCGCUCUUCAGCUCCGCCAGCUUGUACAUCUUCAAGUUGGGCAUUAUUACCUCGCCAGCUUUCGCCACAGCCGGAGCUUUGUCCAUGCCACUGCCACUGCCACUUGCCACCCCCUUCUUGUUCUUGCUCCCCACCAACGCAUCUCGCUUUGCCUUGGGGUUCUUAGCAAGAGCUUCUACACCCUAAGAAAAAAAAAAGUGACAUGUGAACUUAGCUUAUAUCCAUAGAAAAGUAAACGAUAAUAGAUAUUAGAUGAAAGCAUGAUUUAUUAUUUAAAAUUUUUAACACUCCAUAUUUUUUUUAUUCAUUUCCAGAUUUGCGGGGUAAAUUCUGAUGCAUUAUAAGGGACGGAAACUUCCUUGUUGAAAUAGACAAUUAAAAGGAAAAAGAAAAGAAGUGUGCCUUUUCGAAGGAACUGCGGAAGCGGACAAACAGUCAGUCAACCUAGGCCGAAAUUUGUCACUCCUUACACUGUUCUUCCCGGUGACCCGAGUGUCGUCAGUGCUGCCGCUCUUUGGCCUCACCUCGGAAGCCAGCAUCAAGUACCAUAUAUGGCUCGGCCACAUCGUCAUGGUCCUUUUUACCACGCACGGGCCUCGUUUACAUCCUCUAUGGGCUCUCACUCAUAGAAUCUCCNNNNNNNNNNNNNNNNNNNNNNNNNNNNNNNNNNNNNNNNNNNNNNNNNNNNNNNNNNNNNNNNNNNNNNNNNNNNNNNNNNNNNNNNNNNNNNNNNNNNNNNNNNNNNNNNNNNNNNNNNNNNNNNNNNNNNNNNNNNNNNNNNNNNNNNNNNNNNNNNNNNNNNNNNNNNNNNNNNNNNNNNNNNNNNNNNNNNNNNNNNNNNNNNNNNNNNNNNNNNNNNNNNNNNNNNNNNNNNNNNNNNNNNNNNNNNUUUUGUUCGUUCUUUCGCAUAUAUAUUAUAUUAUUUGUUCAUUACUCUAUCGACGUCACUGCUGGGGUGGCACCGAGACGGUGCUUUGGAUCGUACGACACCAGGUCGGGCCCACCACCGUGUUGGAUGGUCAGGAUCGUCGGGCGAGUUUGACCGGUGCUCAGAAAAAGCGGGCCGGGGGGGUGGGGGCGGGCCUAAGAAAUUUCACACAUUUGGGCCCCACUAGAAUUAUGGCGGGGCCCACCUGACUGACCCCCUAGGCACAGACUCACGUGGUCUCUCUUUUUUUAAGAAUUUCUUCUGUUUUUUUCCCCCAUUGGAAACCCUUCUCAUGAGCUUUAUUAAAAUAAUUAAUAUCAUGAAAAAUCAUAAUCUAUAAAUUUAUCUCAAAUUAAUACAAUAUUCUAAUUUAUCUUCUAAUUAGUACAAUAUGAUAAAUUUCCCUCUCUUCUUAGAUAUGUUGAGCUUAAAACAGUCAUGUGUCACGGCCCGAAAGUUGAUCGAUCGGCCCGUGACACAUGCAUGUUCAUAAAGAGUGACUUUCUUCCUUUUCAAGCAAUGAUGCAAAUAGAAAACACAGAAGCAAAAGUAUAUAUUGUGACAUCAGAUUCCUAAGUUGAGAUCACUAAUUUUAUUUUAAUUGUUUUGGUCAGGGUAUACAAAAGAAAGGAGUAGUAUCGUGGUUAUUGGGCUUAGUGUGCACACAACUCCUGUGGAGAUGUGUGAGAAACUUGCCAUUCCAGAGGCAGAAUGGCCUCGAGCCAUUGGAGAACUCUAUAGUUUGAAUCAUAUAGAAGAAGCAGUUGUCCUUAGCACCUGCAACAUAAUGGAGAUAUAUGUUGUCGCUUUGUCUCAGCAUCGUGGGGUUAAAGAAGUGAUUGAAUGGAUGUCUAAUGUGAUUUACUUUUGCUCCUUGCCAUGACUAUAAUUUGGAUUCUUGCAAUAAUUAAUUGCCCUAUGAUACUUGUUUUAUGGAUGAAAAGCACUAGUUUCCUUUGAGUUCUUGUUAAUUCGGGAUUCUUCCUUCUUUGUUUUCUCUUCUUCUCUGGUGAAUGGAAUCCCUAUUUCAGAGUUUUGUCAACACCGGUUUUUGUUGUACAAUGGGGAUGCUACACAUCAUCUUUUUGAAGUCUCAACAAGUCUUGAUUCUCUUGUCCAUGAAGAAGGACGAUUUCCUGGACUAAAUGGGUAUACUUGUUGAGUGAAAUGUGAUGUGAGGUAUAAAGACUAUAGUAGAACAUUCAGAUGAGAAGAUAAGUUGUUAGCAUACUUUAUCACGAUUUCAUAUGCUUAUGGCUGUAUUUACAAAUCACUAUAGUCAAAAAAAUACUUAAAAUCACUAUACUGCAUGUAGGACCAGAUAUUCCUUCUGGGAACAAAUUAAGAUUGGAAAAGCAAAAAGCAUGGCAGUUUUUGAUCCAGACCAGUUGCCCAUGAAACCCAGAAAGUCAAAAGUGAAGCUUUCACUUCUUUUUGAAACCCAACUAGAUUGGAAGCAAUGCAAAACUCGAGCCAUUUCCAGGCUCAACUGGGACAAGCCCACGAAAGAAACCAUGUCUCGGGACGCCAUCCUCCUUCCAAAGAAUUCUCUCGCAACGUUCCGAGCUCCCGUCCUCGUCAUCGCUUCUUAUCCUCCCUGGUUUCUUCUUGCUUGACUUCUCUUCGAAGAGAAGUCAUCUCGCUUUUGAUGAUGUGAUAAUUUCAGGAGAGUGAAAGGGCUAUAACAAGGGAAGAAGGAAGAGAUCUAGCUCAAAGAAAUAGAUGUUCAUUUCUUGAAUGUAGCGCAAAAACUAGAGAGAACGUCAAUCAAUGCUUCAAGGAGCUUAUACAAAAGGUAAGCCGUCCCAAAAAAAAAAAAAAAAAAACCGAAAACCAAAAGUUGAAAACCGAAAAACCGAACCGAACCAAACCGAAAUUUCUGUUCGGUUCGUAAUCGGUUCGGUUCGGAAAUUUUUUUAACAAUUUGGUUCGGUUCGGUUUUUCAAAAAAACUGAAUUGAAUCGAACCGUUUACAGCCUACCUUAUAGGCCAGGCAUCAUGCCCUCGCAUUCUAAAGCUUUUGUAGUCAAAGUAAGGGUGUUUUCGAAAGGAAAAAAAAAAAAGUAAGGGUGUUUUGUGAGAAUUUCUCCACCGAUGAAGUAUCGUUCACCAAAGAUAAUUGAGACAGGUUUUGCCUUAGACAGGAAACAUCAAUAACUUCACUUCAAACCAAACUGUACAAAUAUAAACCGUGUCGGAAUUUAGUCAACAAUAAAACUUGGAAAACUACAACUUCAACAGAACCAAACAUAAACAAACUAUACUGGAAUUUAAUCAACAACAAAACUUAAAAAUACAAAGAUGUUGCACCUAGGACACAACACCUAGGAUAAAGAUACAUGCCAGCAUUUAAUUGACAAUGCGGAUCCGAAAACUACGGCUAAGAAAAAAGCCAGGAUUUAAUCGACGAUGCAAGUCGAGAAAAUAAAAGUAUAGUGCAAGAAAGUAAAGUAAAUUUGUUUGAUUUAUACAAGAGGAUUCUAGCAUACGGGAGAUGGUAUCUAUAGUGCAUACGCCAUAACUGUUCCUGAGCAGUUUUUUAGCAAUUGUACCCUUGUUCCUCUAUGUUUGAAAAUUUUGUGCCUAUAUUCUCAUGGUGACAUGAUCUUAUCUUCAUAUUGGCGUUCCUUUAAAAAAGUGUGCUUAUCGCCACUAGACCUUAAUCACUUCGUUUUUCAAAAACAUCACACUUGUACCAGCAACUUGAUGCCUCUUAUAUGUUUAUCUUUCUCCUGACACCUUGAUAACUUGUCGGUCUUGCUUAAUCAACAUCCUUAUCAAUCGUUAUUAACCAUACAUCAUAUAUCAACAACGAUCGGUGACAAAUCCUUGAUGUGCACCAAGACCAAUACUUUGUGGUUAUCGACGGUGGAUCACGUGCUUGACAAUAUUUGACGCUUCAAUCACAUGUCUACUCAUAUCGACAACCUAAUUACUUUUUUUGUGCAAACAAAGGGAAGUUGAUGACUUAAUCUCGAUUGGUCCCAGCUCACCGGCACAAAUCUUCUUGAUGAUUAUGUGCAUGUCAUAUGCCAUAUUUCACACCAUGGUCGACGGCAUUUUUAUCAUAAAUUGCCAAUUGGGGGAUACCAAAAAAGUCCUAAAAUUAUUGUAGUUGUGUUAAUUCAGUCAUAAAUUUUUUUCUCUAAUUAAAUCAUAAAUACUUUGUAUUUGAACCACCGCCCGCGGUGGAAGCGUUGGUUAGGGCUUGGUACCCCAAACGUAGGGGGAAGGGUUCGAACCUUCGUGGAAGCGAUGCUUCAAUGCAUAACGCGCGUCUUACCUGCGCUUGGGGGUCAGCGGUGGGGGCCCCCGGCCCUCCAGGGUUUACUCUCCCCGCGAAGCGGCGUUCGGAGGUUCCUUGGGUCAUCAAAAAAUAAAAAUAAAAACUUUGUAUUUGUAUUAAUUCAAUUUAUCCGAUCAAUUUUGAUUGGAAAUUAUUGAUAUAAACGUCAACUGACCGAUGUAGCUUGGCACGCACUAGCAUGAACAAUUUUUAAUAAUAUGUUUUUUUUAAUUAUUUAUUAAUUCUUUUAUUUCCUUUAUUACGUCUCUUUCUUCUUCUUUUUUCUUCCCUUCUUCUUCUUCUUCCUCUAGCCAACCGCUGACCACCAACUAGAGGCAAGGGCCAGCUAGGUCGACCUCGUUGGUUCUAACAAAGUUGAGCCUCCCCCAUGGCCAGUGAGGUCACCUCGCCUCUGGCCAGUCGUCAGCGGUCAUUCCGACUCAAGGCAUGUUGGAGUUUUCUGGCUUUUCAUCCUUAUACAUCAUUCUGCUGUUGGUGUGUAGCCAUUAGCAUGUGCAUAGGAAGAAAUUACUCGGUGAACUUCUCUGAGUCAGGGCAUAAACUAACCAAAUUCAUCAAGACACAAUAGAACCUAAUUUUAGAGUAACGCUAAACGUGGAAUAUGCUUAUGGCAAACUAUCAUCUACGUCACAGGUCCAAUUCUUCUUGACAAUUAUCACCUCGUGGAGAAACUUGCCAACUUUGAUAGGGAGAGGAUUCCAUAGAGUGUUGUCCAUGCCAGGGGAGCCUUUGCAAAGGGAUUUUUUGAGGUCACUCAUGACAUUUCUCACCUUACCUGUGCCGAUUUCCUUCAGGCACCAGGAGUUCAAACACCUGUGACUGUCCGUUUCUCCAUCCUCGUCCACGAAAGGGGCGGCUCUGAAACCCUGAGGGACCCCCGGGCUUCUCGUGUGAACUUCUACACAAGAGAGGUGAGGGUCGUUUUGGUAGUAGACAUGAAUGUGCAGUAUGGACGGGCAUGAGUAUGAUGCUCCCUGUGAUAAAUCCUUUCACGGGUGGCCUAAACUCGACCGAUGCAUAUGGCAGUUCUCUUGUCCACAUUGCAUAUAUUUGUUUUGUUGCACUUUGCUAUGUGAUCUUACCUUUUCUGUUACUGCAGGGUAACUUUGAUCUGGUAGGAAACAAUUUCCCUAUCUUCUUUAUCUGCGAUGGGAUGAAAUUCCCGGAUAUGGUUCGUGCACUUAGACCAAACCCCAAAUCUCGCGUCCAGGAGAACUGGAGGAUUCUUGACUUUUUCUUCCACCAUCCCGAGAGCUUGCACUUGUUCCCCUUCCUCUUUGAUGAUAUAGUGCACAAGAUUACAGGCACAUGCAGGGCUCUGGAGUUAACACCUACAUUUUGAUCAACAAGGCCAGAAAAGCGCAUCAUGUGAAGUUUCAAUGGAAACCAACUUGCGGGUCAAGAGCUUGCUGGAAGAAGAGGCAAUUAGAGUCGGGGGAUCCAAUCACAGCCAUGCAACUCAGGAUUUUAUGAUUCCAUUGCUGCUGGAAACUAUCCUGAAUGGAAACUUUUUGUUCAGAUCGUCGAUCCUGAUCAUGAAGACAAAUUCGACUUUGGCCCACUUGAUGGGGCUAAGACCUGGCCCGAGGACAUAUUGCCCCUAAUGCCAGUUGGCCGCUUGGUCUUGAAUAGGAACAUUGACA
Molecule: long non-coding RNA, 55174 nt
Filed under: Eucalyptus grandis
Lineage: Eukaryota; Viridiplantae; Streptophyta; Magnoliopsida; Myrtales; Myrtaceae
Description: long non-coding RNA (EGRA_LNC003842)
Source: RNAcentral